GCCUCACCAUUUCCAUCCUCCUCUUCCCCUCGCGCCGUCAGAUGGGUUACAGGGAUGCCGUCGGCAUGGGAGGGCUCAGGUGAGCUCGACACCACCACGAGGUCAACGCCUUCUUCCUCUCCGACAACGCCAAGAGCAUGCGGGGGUCGUGGGAGAUCCAUUCCCGCGGAGAGCGUGCAACGAGUACGACGACAUCGAUGACUCCACGACGGCCCCUUCUUCCUCCAGUCUGGCGAUCAUCGACAAAACCUCUGCGUCGUCGUUCCCCUCCGUCGAGCAGGCCGAUUCCUCAGACCUCUAGGUGAGCAUGCGCCCCGCUCCCCUCCGUCUUUAUCUGUUCUCUCUUCGUGUCCGUCGUGCACCGUUGCCGUGGUUAUCCGGCGAGGCACAUCAGUGCAGCUGCGUGCUUGCGAGCACCAGUGGGUGUCGGGGUCUUCCUCCCCCUCCACAGCGUUUCUAUUAGUGCAGAUCCCCCCUUCGUAGCUUCGAUGCGUGAGUGUGUGCGCGGUGUGACGUGCAGCUCCGGCGAGAGAGCACGUCGCCGACACUUCUCUGUCUAGCAGUGGAGAGACCAUGUUAGUUAUGUCUGGUGUGGAUCCCCCUAGCAGAGCAGAUCCACCACCCUAGCCUAGUGGCAACCGAACUAGGCAUACUCCACGGCAUCGUGGGUUCGAACCCCCUGGCGCCCCCUUUUUAUUUCGGUUGUUUUCUUGUGCAUGCAGAGUAGCAGCUCACCUUACCUGAAGCCCAGAAUAGUUCAGCUAGACCCGAGUGGCCUAGUGGUAGCGGGUGUGUGCGGGUGUGUGUGAGGUGCAGGGUUCGAACCACCCUGCACCUAUUUUUGUUGAGUGUAUUUUCCACUGUGUGUGUGUAUGUAGUGUGGCAGGGCCCACUUGUCACACUUGCUAGGGGGCCCCUGGUGCCUAUGACCAGUCGGGCCCCAUGCCAACUAUUGUUUUGUGUGUGUUGUGGUAUUAUUGAGCUUAUUCCCUUUUAGGCAUUAGUCCAUUUGGGGAAAUAGCCAGAUCUGGCGUAUCCCAUAAUAGGCAAGUUUUAACUUAUAGUUUGUUGUAGGAAUUGGGUGAUUUUUCUUUUUCAGAAUUGGGGGUAUUUUAUCCUUAGGUAUAUAGGAGUGUGAUAUAUGCUUUUGGGGUAUAAAAUCCCAAGGAUUCCAAUGAUGUUACUAGAUUCUGGUUUUGAGCGUUUCUGUAGAAGUCUCCUUGUGGUGAUGUGGCAAUAGUUUUAUCUGUGUAGGGUGGUUCAUGUGCAUGGUAAGAGAUAGUGCAUGCAUGCAUCAUUAUGUCUGUGGCAUCAUCUACUUGCUGGCAUUUAUUUCCUGCUUGUUUCCUUUGGGUAGCUACUCGGACCGGAAACGAGUUCGAAGAGUCCGGUGAGUUCGUGUAGGAAUAUCGUGAUCAGUUCCACUCUGAAGAAACCACAUGCAAGAUGAUCGUGACCUUGACACCGUUUCUAGCUUUGUUUCGCUUAGUGUUAGGUUUCAUUCGUUACAUCUCCGUUGCCUACCACAUGAUAUAUAAGCCAUCAAACAUUUCCAUGAAACCUCAAACACCUCCCCUCCUAGCAAAGAUUGUUUGGCUAAGUUAGGCUUGCUCAACCACUAAAUUGUUAGUGUUGCUAGUUGCAGGUGCCAGCUGGUCCAUGUGAUAACAUGGGCAUUUGAUAUCAUCAUAUUUAAUUGCUAUUUAAUUAAUGAACAUAUAUACUUGGCAAUAACGGAAGGCCUAGCCUUUUGCCGGGUGAUUUGUUCCGUUGUUGCCACCUUAGUUUCGGCUAUCGGUGUUUUAUUCCUUAACUGAGCGAUCCUAACACGUUCGGGGUUGUUAUGGGGACCACCUUGAUAAUUCGUUUAGAUUAAAUCUUCUCCAGCCAUGCCCAACUUUGGUGUUAAAUUUGCUAAUAACUUAAUAAAAAGCAUAGGGAAUAGCUACCCUGAGGAAUUAAUCAACAACCCGGGUCAGAGCUCCUCAUGAGUGUUGGUCCAACCUGAGUGAUGUCCGGCGCCCCCUGGUCACCCAGGGUUUAGCCAACCCGAAGUCUAGCUCAUCCGGUCGUGCCCUGAGAACGAGAUACACGACUCCUAUCGGGACUAUCGACACGCGGGGCGGCCUUGCUGGAUUAGUUUUACCUUUUACGAGAUAUCUUGUGCAUUGGGAUUCCGGUGAGACUUUGGGUCUUCUCACAGUUGAGGUUUUUCCACUAAGGAAUCGGACGAGAUCACGAGUUUCGUGGUAGAGGAUUACUAUGCGGCCUCUGGUAAUUUGUGAUGGACUAGUUGGAGCACCCGUGCAGGGUUAAAUCUUUCGGAAAGCCAUGCCUGCGGUUAUGUGGCAAACAUGGAUAUUUUGUUAACAUCCGGUUCUAGACAACUUAAAGUAAUUCAAAUAAAAGUUGCCAACUGAGUGUGUAACCGUGUCUGUUUCCUUCAGAGCUCCUUCUCUAAUCGAGAACAGAGCGGGGUUAUGAAUGACGUAAGUAGGUGUUCAGGAUCACUUAGUGAUCAAUCUAGUCUUCGACCGUCUUACAUAGACCACCAUAUGUUAUCCCUGUUCUUCGUAAGUUAACCACCAUCUAUGCUUAGGAUACUGCAAACUCAAACACUUAACCUACCUCACCUAUUUAACUUAGUUAGACUCGAUACCAAGGUCAUGAGAUUGCUGAGUCCUCGUGGCUCACAAUUUACUACAAACCCCCAUAGGUAUAGGUACCCCACACGCAGGUGUUUCCGAUGAUAACCAGCUGAGGUGGGAGUUCGACGAGGAUAGUGGCAGGCUGGAUGUGACGUAUCCCGAGGACUAGAGGUGCAUGUUCGUGAUCAUGGGACUAGCCAGAUGGGAUAGCAUGAUUUUUCCGUUUAUCUUGUCCGUAGUCGGACCCUCCUUUAUGUAUUUAUAAUGAAUACUUGUGUGGAUUGUAAUUUAGCAUGUGGCGAGUGUAAGCCGAAUCUUAUACUCAUCUCUCUAUUUAUGUAAUGGCAUUGCUAUCCUAGUUGCAAUACACUUAGAUGGGACCCUUUCCCCUUUUGAGGCCUCGUCCCCAAAUAAGGAAAGUGCCGCAUCUUGGUCGUUACAAGUUGUUAAUCAGAGCCUUACGACCAUAGGAGCCUUUGUGUGAUCGAACUUGGCCGAGUCGAGUCUAGCAAAAACUAUUUUGAGUCUUAGUUAUAUCGGAGAGUAGGUUUCUUUUUUCUCUUCUUCUAUGCUCUCAUGAUGCUCGUGACUUGGGAAAUUUUAAUUCUACUGCUCUUCUUGCUCGAAAAAAAUUUAGGAUCACGCGGAUAUUUUGAAAUCUAUAUGAUAUCGAUGUGAUGGAGUUCUGUCUUGGUGCCUCCUGCUGUGUUGAUUUUAUUCCGGGGAGUUGAGCUCCAGGGAAUUCUUGAGCACAUCAUUAUCAUUCAGAUUUCUUAGUAUCUCAUGAUGAAGGAUGUUUGAAAUUGAUUCAAUACUAGCAGUGGCGAGAGGAGUGUGGCUUCCCCAGUACUGGUGCAGAUAGGUCCGGAUGUAUCGCCAUACUUAGUAUCGUUGUGAUUACGAGGAUAUGAGAUAGAUGAACUUCCAAGAUUUUGGUUAUGUGUUGACGGAUGUGAUACACUAGAAGGGUUAGAUGCUAGGAGUUGAGUGAUAUAUUACUCCUUGUAUCCGUGGACCAGAUUGCAUGACCAGAAAUUUCGGGAGUUCUUAGGUGGGAAUUCAGGUAGUUACUUAUAGGACAUUCCUCCAACAGAUGCAUGAUGUGAGGUUUUGAUUCGACAUCUAGUGGAUUCGUUUGUUCAUGGUCAUCUUACAAUGGUUCUCGUUGUGUCUAAAAGUGUCCUUUGUAACGACUAAGAUGCGGUCCUUUCCAAUUUAGGGAACGAGGCCCCGAAUUGUAAAGAAGCGCAUCUAAGCGUUUCGCAAGCACGGUAAUGCUACUCCGACAACAGACCUUUCCUGGUACGGCGCCAGGAAUCAUGUUGCUACGGCUACGCCUUUAGGGAAUUCCUUGGCAAAUAUGCAAAGGAUUUGCCCCCGGCCUUGGAGCCUUGCGUUGGUGUUCCCUUGAAGAGGAAAGGGUGAUGUAGCACAGCGGCGGUAAGUAUUUCCCUCAGUUUUGAGAACCAAGGUAUCGAACCAAUGGAAGAUCUCGUCAAGUCACAAGUACCUGCACAAACACAAAGAGCUUGCACCCAACGCUAUGAAGGGGUUGUCAAUCCCUUAUAGAUUGUUUGCAAAGUGAGAACUGAAAGCAAAGAGUAAACAGAGCAAAGUAAAAGUGAAAGUGGAAACGAUAGUUGUGAAUAGACCCGAGGGCCGUAGUGUUCACUACUGGCUUCUCUCAUGAAAGCAAGUAGACGGUGGGUGAACGAAUUACUGUCGAGCAAUUGAUAGAACCGCGCAAAGCAGUGACGUUAUCUAAGGCAAUGAUUACAUAUAUAGGCAUCACGUCCAAAACAAGUAGACCGAUACUUUCUGCAUCUACUACUAUUACUCCACACAUCGACCGCUAUCCACCAUGCAUCUAGUGUAUUAAGUUCAUGGGAAUAGAGUAACGCCUUAAGCAAGAUGACAUGAUGUAGAUGGACAAUCUCAUAUCUACGAGAAAAGCCCAUCUUGUUACCCUUGAUGGCAACAACACAAUGCGUGCCUUGCUGCCCCUUUUGUUACUGGGAAAGGUCACCACACGGUAUGAACCCAAAACCAAGCACUUCUCCCAUUGCAAGAAUCAUAGAUCUAGUUGGCCAAACAAAACCCAAGACUCGGAGAUACUUACAAGGAUAUCAAAUCAUGCAUAUAAGAAAUUAGCAAAGACUCAAAUAUAAUUCAUAGUUAAUCUGAUCACAAAUCCACAAUUCAUCGGAUCUCGACAAACACGCAGCCAAAGAGGAUUACAUCGGAUAGAUCUCCAUGAAGAUCAUGGAGAACUUUGUAUUGAAGAUCCAAGAGAGAGAAGAAGCCAUCUAGCUACUAACUACGGACCCGUAGGUUUGAACUAGACUACUCACGACUCAUUGGAGAGGUGAUGAUGUUGAUGUAGAAGCCCUCCAACUCCAAAGUCCCCUCCGGCAUGGCACCGGGAAGGGUCUCCAGAUGAGAUCUCGCGGAAACGGAAGCUUGCGGCGGCGGAAAAAUGUUUUCGUGGAUGCCCUGAUUUUUUUCUGGAUUUUAGGGAAUGUGUAGGCGAAAGAGCUAGGUCAGGGGGCGCCAAGGAGGCCAUAGGCCUAGUAGCCGCCGCCCCCCUGGUGGCGGCUACAGGGCUUGUGGCCCCCCUGUGGCUCUCGUGCCUUUGCCCUGAAGUCCCGUGAUCUUCUUCCGUUCUGGAAAAAUUUAUUUCGGGGAUUUUAUUCCGUUUGGACUCCGUUCCAAAAUCAGAUAUGAAAAGAGUCAAAAACACGGAAAAAACAGGAACUAGCACUUGGCACUGAAUUAAUAAGUUAGUCCCAAAAAAUAUAUAAAACGUAAACAAAACAUCCAAAGUUAACAAGAUAACAACGUGAAACCAUAAAAAAUUAUAGAUACGUUUGGGACGUAUCAAGCAUCCCCAAGCUUAACUCCUGCUCGUCCUCGAGUAGGGAAGUCAUAAAGAAUGAAUUUUUGAUGCUUUCAUGCUACCUAGCAUACAUGUCCUUUGUAACUCCUCUUAUGUGACGUGAAUGUUAAGAUCAAUUAGAUUCAAAACAAUAGUUUGCUAUUGACGUGGAGACAAUAAUAAUCAACAAACUAGCAAGGUAACCAUGAACUUUCAAAAUAACAAGGCCAAAAGAAAGUUAUCCCUACAAAAUCAUAUAGUCUAGCUAUGCUCUAUCAUCAUUGCACAACGAAUUAAAUCAUGCACAACCCCGGUAUUGGCCAAGUAAUUGUUUUCACACCUUUACUUCUCAAACUUUUUCAACUCUCAUGCAAUACAUGAGCGUGAACCCCGGUAUUGGCCAAGUAAUUGUUCCCGAUCGAAGAGAGGUCUUUAGAGGGGACAAUCACGGUUACGCACACAGUUGGCAAUUUUAUUAGAUUAUGUUCAAGUUAUCUAUAACCGGUUUUUAACAAAUAUUCCAAGUUGCCACAUAACCGCGGGCACGGGUUUCCGAAAGAUUAAACCCUGCAGGGGUGCUCCAACUUGUCCAUCCCAAACGGUCACGGGCCGCAAAGUAAUCCUCUUUCACGAAUCUCGUGAUCUCGUCGGAUUCCUUAGAGGAAAACCUCAACUAUGGGGAGAACCAAAGCUUCACCGGGAUUCCUAUACGCAAGAUAUAUCGCUAAGGGAAGACAAGACUAGCAGGACCUCCCGUCGUGUCGACGACCCCGAUAAGAGCCGCGUAUCUCAGUCUCAGGACACGACGGAUGAGCUAGACGUCGGGAUGGCUAAACCUCUGGGUGACCAGUGGGGCCCCGAACAUCGCUCAGGUGGGGCCAACACUCAUGAGGAGCACUGGCCCGGGUUGUUGAUUAAAUUCCUCGGGGUAGCUAUUCCCUAUGUAGAUUAUUAUUUAGUGAUUAGCAGAUUAAAACCAAUGUUGGGUCGUGCCGGACAAGUCUUAACACUACACGAUUUAUCAAGGGGGUCCCCAUAACAACCCCGAACGUGUUAGGAGCGAUCAGUUAUGGAAUCAAACACCGGUAGCCGGUAACUAUGGCGGCAAUAACGGAACAAAACACCCGGCAAAAGGCUAGGCCUUCCGUUAUUUACCAAGUAUAUAGGUGGAUUAAUUAAAUAUCAAAUUUAACAUAAUGAUAUCAAACUCAUGUUAUCACAUGAGACAAUAGCACCUACAACUAGCAACGCUAACAUUAGAAGUUGAGCAAAGCCUACUUAGCCAUUCAAGAUUUGCUAGGAGGGGAAAGUGUUUGGGUUUCAUGGCAAUAUUAGGAGCCAAUUAUUUCAGUGGUAGGCAGCGAGCAUAUGACGGAGAAACGGGAAACUAGCAUAACAAGUCUAGAGAUGGAAUCAAGGUCAUAUCAUCUUGCCUGUGAUGUCCUCAACUUGGAACUGCUCUUGUUCGUCCUGCACGUACUCUCCCAGAUCCACGUACUCGUUCUCCGAUCCCGGUGCUACCCAACAUAAAAAUAGCAUCCAAUGAACAACAACAACACAAGAUGCAACAAGCACAUGAUGCAUGAGAUGAAUAUGAACAUGCAUCUCUAUUCUAGUCACUAGCACAAGCAUGAGAAGCAAAUACAAGUUCCUGGACAGAACUGCACUCUAAGCUAUCUUGACAUGCAUGAGAAUGACAUGAACAGAUGCGUCACGUGAAAACGAUGCAAAAACAUAUAAAGAAUGUAACGAACGGAGCUAUGGUUCAACGGGAAACAACGAAACAAUAAUUGAAGUCAUUCGUAUCAAAAUCAUCACAACACACUCCAAUGGCAUACUUCUGGUAUUCCCAGGUUGCCAAAACACAAAACAAACAAGAAUGGAUGGGGUGGUGCAAAGAAUAUCACCACACCAUCAACUAUGCACUCACAAGCAUCAAAAUAUCAAAACCAUACAGUCUGCCAUAAACAGCAACAUAGCAUUUUGAGGGAUACAUGCAAAGCACCUACAGCCACCCAAAUAUGCCAAAUAGGAUAUGUGGCAAAAGCUAAUCAAAAGUACUACAAGCAUGACCAAAAGGCUAAUACAAAGGAGUUUCACACAGAAAGUUACACAGGUGCUAACUUGGACAAAAAUAUUAGUUUUCAAGGACUUAGUGAAAAUUCCAGAUUCUCACCAGCUGUUUAUGCUCUGAAGCAUUUUGACAGCACCCAAAACAAUAUCUACAGGAUUCCAAAUGGAAUGAAAAUUGCAAAGAGCUAGACAAACACAAAAGCUACAACUUUCCAGUUGAUAGCAAAGGCUGAUUCACAACACAUGGCCUUCUACAAGCACAACAACAGGAGAAGAAAAUAUAAGCAGAUUCUCAGACUUAGUGAAAAUCACAGAUUUUCACUAAACUGGAAUUUUAGCCACAUGCCUACUUUGACUAGGCACAACUUGCACCCCUGAACUCCUAAGCAUGAAACAAAACCAACAUGUGGUAGAGGGGUUCACCCUCUACUGCCACAACAAAGAAUCAACCUCUUGGGCUCAUCACAUCACAUGGAACCAAGUUGUAAACAUGGAACAAAACUGAAAUCUAUCAUUCCCAGAAUUGUUCCAAAGUGGAAACUGACUUCACCAAUGGAUUCCUGGGAUGAUUCUACCCCAAAAACAUAUAUAAUACAUAGGCACUUGCGUAAAAUAAUUAGGCACAAACUUGAAAAUAAAAUCUACAUGGAAUCACAUAGAGUGAAUAGUGCAUCAUCACGUGUGCUUCCACUAGUUCAUCACUUAUACAUGCUCUUGCACAUGUCCACAACACCAAUGGUGCACAUGAGGGGUAAACCUCAUGCUCAUGUGCCUUAGCACUCCACCACACACUUACAUGUAUCAAGCACAACAUAAUAUAAACACCUACACAUGCUAAUGAGAACACACACACUAGAUUACACCACAUCAUCUAUACACCUACACAUAUAAACAUGCGCAUGUGCUCAUCAAGGCACUCCAUGCCUUUAGCAUGUGUGGGACACACACACACCAUCUCAUACAACAACACAAGAGCACCUACAUAUACACAAGGUAGGUGAGGGGGAAACCCACACACACACUCACAUCACAUACUUGCACAAGAUAGGACAUAAGUCCAUCAACAUGCACAUGGGAAAACACUCACACAUGCAUCUCAUUCUAGCCUAGUGCAUGCACACACACACACAUGACUAGAUCACACUCAAACAUGAGCUAACUCUCAUAACACUUAUGCACACAAGGUCCUUCACAUACAUAUUAACAUAGCUAGCAAAAUACUAGGAACAACAUGCUGUUUGGAGGCAAGCAAAAAAAUACCCCACUUGAAGAUCUAGCACACCACAUACAUCUAUGCCAGCAUACAAUGCAAAAACGGAAAAGAAUGCAACAAAAAAAAUAAUGGGGAGGGAUUCGAACCCAGACCCCCUGGUUACCAACACUGAACCAGCACCACCCUGCUCCUGCGCAUGCACUUGACAGAUACAGCGAAGAGAGCAGGUUAUGCUCUCUGCUGCAGUUGUUGUGCCGGAAAAAUGAAAAACAAAAGGUGAGCCGAGGGGGAAUCGAACCCACGACUAGCCACUGCGCCAAAACUACCACUACCACUCUGCUGCUCGUUGGGAUCUUAACAGGUGAGGGGAGUAAUCUCUCUUGAGCACCCCCUCAUGCCUAUCCUCUGCCCGACGGUGGCCGGAACAGGGGACGGUGCUCGCCGGCGAUACACUUUAAAUCAAGCUACGGCUACUCGAUGGAAGGAAGCCCUUCCUCCCAUGGUUCCAUUUCACCUACUAGCACUACUCGAGAGGGCCUGCAGCGACGGCUCGACGAGGCACGACGGCUCCGGCGACAGAGAAGGAACGGCGUCAACGCUACGGCCUACUGCUCGUGAUCUGGGACAGGGAAGAAGGGGAGAUGGAUCUACCUCACCUACUGGACGAGGCGGUUGCGUUGGCCGAAGAGGAAGUAGAGGAAGAAGGGGAAGGAGCCGCUCGGGGAAGAUCGUCGGGGAAGAAGGCCGCCGUCGUCGAGGAGAUGUAGCAGUGCCGAUCUUGUCGUCCUAGCCACGGGAAUGGGCUCCUGGAGGGUCCCGCGUGCUCGCCAAGGAGAUGGAUAGGCCGCAGGUGUACGGGCGCGACGGCGAGGAUCUUCUCAGCUUGCGGUCAUGGCGGAGGAGGUCGAUCCCCUUACCUGGUGUCGGCGACAGAGAGGGAGAAUGGGAUGGGAUGGAGGUGGCGGCGCGAGAGAGAAACCCUAGGCUGCACGGACACUAAUGGGGGAUUAUAUGGAGGAGGAGGAGGUGAGGGCAGCGCCUCGCGUCCGUGACGCCGUCUGUUGCUGCGGCUCUCUCUGCCUCUGUGAAGGAGCCUCACGGAGGAGGAGGACACGGAACGGCGUCUACACGAGAAGGAGGGGAGCUGGGCCUGCUAGUGGGAGGAGGACCACUAGUUGGUGCCAGAUAGAAGAAAAUUUAAAUCCCUGGGGUUUGCAAAUUACAAAAUAACCAGAGAAAGAAAAUAAAGCAAAGUCAAAUCUGUUGGGGUUAAAAACAAAACAAAAAUGCCCCUGGUCAUAAUGAUUUAUGACCUAUUUAAAUUAAUUGGAAAACAAAUAUUAGGAGCAACUAAAUAUUAAUAAAACAGAAUUUAUUGGACCGCUUUUGUGAAUACUAGCACCUUUAAAACAUAUUUUCAAAUCAGCAAAUCACAUCCUCACAAUCACCAAUAAUACAUGCUAAAACAUAGGCAUUUUUGAAAUAGGGAUGGGGCAAGAGAAUCUUGGCUUGAGAUAAAUAGAGAGGGGGUUGUUUUGAAACCCUAGUGCAAACCACAUAGUGCUAACUACUAUCCAACCACAUCCACAUCACUCCACUUAUCACACAUAUCAUCAUCACAUCACAACUCAUGUCACCACACCUCCACAUAUGAUCACAAGGCAACAAACACAAAGCAUGGAAUGGAUGGAAUGCAUGCAUGCAAAGGAAAAGAAAUCAAGGUGACAUCACAUGAAAUCAUAUGCAUUGAACUCUCAUAACAAUGACAAGUUGGACCCACAUAGAUAAGGUUCCAAAUAUGGCAAGUUACACACUUGGGGCAUUACAUCCUUGUAGCUUGCUACGACUCGGGGAUGCUUCGUAUGUCGUGUGCACUGCCUUAUACAUGAUGGCUACUGUAGGAUCGAGCCCAUGUGAUCAUAUCCAUGAAAAUAUCGGAUGGAAUCUCUGUCAUACAUUUGUUCCGAGAAAUCCUAGCUCAUACUUGGUUUACAAGUGGCUUUGAAUCAGAUGUUGUGGACAAUUGUUUGGACUCUAAUUUGCAUGAUUUGAAUGGAACUAACCUGGACUGACGCUGUUUUCAGCAGAAUUUCCAUGGUGUUGUUUUUUGCAGAAAUAAAAGUUCUCGGAAUGUCGUGAAAACUUACGGAGAUUUUUUCUGGAAUAAAAAAAACCUACGCAAAGAUCCACCGGAGGAGGUGGACCAGUGGGCCACAAGCCCACAGGCCGCGGCCACCCCCCUGGCCGCGCCGUGAGGGCUUGUGGGGCCCACGUGGCUCCACUGCCCCCAAACUCAGCUCUAUAUCUUCCGUCUCACCCGGAAAAAAAAUCAGAGAGAAGGUUUCAUCGCGUUUUGCGAUACGGAGGCGCCGCCACAUCCUGUUCUUCAUCUGGAGGGCAGAUCUGGAGUCCGUUUCGGGCUCCGGAGAGGGGAAAUCAUCUCCACCGUCAUCAUCAAGCUUUCUCCAUCAACAAUUCCAUGAUGCUCUUCAUCGUUCGUGAAAAAUCUCAUUGUAGGCUUGCUGGACGGUGAUGAGUUGGAUGAGAUCUAUCAUAUAAUCGAGUUAGUUUUUGACGGGGAUUGAUCCCUAGUAUCCACUAUGUUCUAGAUUGAUGUUGCUACUACUUGGCUAUGCUUAAUGCUUGUCACUAGGGCCUGCUACUGCAACAAAAGACCUUCCAAUGGCGCCAAAAAUAGGCACGUUGACGGGAGAAUACUUGACUUGAUCCUUCUGUUGCGGCUACGCCUUAAGGGACUUCCUAGGCAAGUAUGCAAAGGAUUUCCCCCGUGGCCUUGGAGCCUUGCAUUGGUGUUCCCUCGAAGUGGAAAGGGUGAUCUAGUGUAGCGGUGGUAAGUAUUUCCGUCAGUUUGAGAACCAAGGUAUCAAUCCAGUGGAGGAGUAUCUCAAGAUCCUGCACAAACACAAAAGCUUGCUCCCAACGCUAUGAAGGGGUUGUCAAUCCCUUAUAGAUUGUUUGCCAAGUGAGAACUAAAAGCAACAAAGUAACAAAGAAAAGUAAAAGCGGAGGUGUAAACGAUGGAUGUGAAUAGACCCCGGGGCCGUAGUGUUUACUAGUGGCUUCUCUCAUGAAAGAAAGUAGAUGAUGGGUGAACAAAUUACUGUCGAGCAAUUCAUAGAACCGCACAAAGUCGUGACGAUAUCUAUGUCAAUGAUUAUAUCUAUAGGCAUCACGUAAAAAACAAGUAGACCGAUACUUUCUGCAUCUACUACUAUUACUCCACACGUCGACCGCUAUCUAGCAUGCAUUUAGUGUAUUAAGUCCAUAAGAACAGAGUAAUGCCUUAAGCAAGAUGACAUGAUGUAGAGGGAUAAUCUCAAACCAAUGAUGAAAACCCCAUCUUUUUACCCUUGAUGGCAACUACUUAAUGUGUGCCUUGCUGCCCCUACUGUCACUGGGACAGGUCACCACAUGGUAGAACCCAAAACCAAGCACUUCUCCCAUUGAAAGAAUCAUAGAUCUACUUGACCAAACAAAACCCAAGACUCAGAGAGACUUACAAGGAUAUCAAAUCAUGCAUAUAAGAAAUCAGCAAAGACUCAAAAUAUAUCAUAGAUAAUCUGAUCACAAAUCCACAAUUCAUCGGAUCUCGACAAACACACCGCCAAAGAAGAUUACAUCAGAUAGAUCUCCAUGAAGAUCAUGGAGAACUUUGUAUUGAAGAUCCAAGAGAGAGAAGAAGCCAUCUAGCUACUAACUACGGAUCCUUAGGUCUGAAGUGAACUACUCACGAGUCAUUGGAGGGGCCAUGAUGAUGAUGAAGAAGCCCUCCAACUCCAAAGUCCCCUCCGGCUGGGCGUCGGGAAGGGUCUCCAGAUGAGAUCUUGCGGAAACGGAAGCUUGUGGCGGCGGAAAAGUAUUUUCGAGGCUCCCAUGAUUUUUUGCUGAAUUUUUGGGAAUAUAUAGCCAAGGAUCUAGGUCAGGGGGCGGUCAGGGAGGCCACAAGCCCUGACACCGCCGCCUCCCCCUGGUGGUGGAGUGGGAGCUUGUGGGCUCCCUGGAGCCCACCUGGCUUGGCCCAGAGGCCCCCUGAUCUUCUUCCGUUCGGGAAAAAAUCAUUUUGGGUUUUUUAUUCCGUUUGGACUCCGUUCCAAAAUCAUAUCAGAAAAGAGUCAAAAACACAGAAAAAACAGGAACUGGCACUUGGCACUGAAUUAAUAAGUUAGUCCCAAAAAAGAUAUAAAAGGUACAUAAAACAUCCAAAGAUGACAAGAUAACAGCGUGAAACCAUCAAAAAUUAUUGAUACGUUUGAGACGUAUCAAGCAUCCCCAAGCUUAACUCCUGCUCGUCCUCGAGUAGGGAAGUGAUAAACAAUGAAUUUUUUAUGCUUUCAUCCUACCUAGCAUAGGUGUCCUUUGUAAUUCCUCUUAUGUGACGUGAAUGUUCAGAUCCAUUAGAUUCAAAACAUUAGUUUUCUAUUGACGUGGAAACAAUAAUAAUUCAAGCAAACUAGCAAGGUAAUCAUGAACUUUCAAAAUAACAAGGCCAAAAGAAAGUUAUCCCUACAAAAGCUUAUAGUCUGGCUAUGCUCUAUCAUCAUUGCACAACGAAUUUAAAUCAUGCACAACCCCGGUAUUGGCCAAGUAAUUGUUUCACACCUUUACUUUCUCAAACCUUUUCAACUCUCACGCAAUACAUGAGCGUGAGCCACGGUUAUAGCACUAUAGAUGGUGUGGAAUGUGGUGGAGGUUGCAAGACAAAAAAGGAGAAGAUAGUCACAUUAACUAGGCAUAUCAAUGAGCUGUGGAGAUGCUCAUCAAUAUAUAUCAAUGUGAAUGAGUAGGGAUUGCCAUACAAAUGAUGCACUAGAGCUACGAGUAUGUGAAAGCUCUUAAAGAAAACUAGUGGGUGUGCAUCCAACUUGCUUGCUCACGAAGACCUAAGGCAACUUUGAGGAAGCCUAUCAUUGGAAUAUACAAGCCAAGUUAUAUAAUGAAAAUUUCCCACUAGCUAUAUGGUGGUGACAAAAUGAGAGACUCUCAAUCAUAAAGAUCAAGGUGCUUAAAAUUCAGAAGUGUGGAAAAAGUCGUAGCAUUGUCCCUUCUCUCUUUUUCUCUCAUUUUUUUUGGUGGGCUCUUUGGCCUCUUUUUUUCCUUUUUUUUGGUGGUCUUCUUUGGCCUCUUUUAUUUCCUCACAUGGGACAAUGCUCCAUUAAUGAUGAUCAUCACACUUUCAACUCAAAGCUUAGAGCAACUAUGACUCUAUAUGGAGUGCCUUCGGUAGUGUACCGUGGCAAUGAUCUAGCAUGGCAUAGACAUCAAUGGAAACAUCAUGCUAGCUAUCUUAGGAUCAUGCAAUGGCAAUGUAGACGUGGUGGCACAUGUCAUGGUGGUAGUUCCAUGGCAAUAUAUCUCGGAAUGACUUUGAAAAAGGCAUAGUAGGUAGGUAUGGUGGCUGUUUUGAGGGAGGCUAAUGGUGGGUUUUGUGCACCGGCGAAAGUUGCACGGCACUAAGAAUAUAGUGAUGGUGGUAGGUGAAAGUGCAUCUAAACCAUGGACUCAACAUUAGUCAUGACGAACUCAUAUACUUGUUGCAAAAGUUUUAUUAGUAAUCGAAACAAAGCAUUCAACGCAUACUCCUAGGGGAAGGGUUGGUAGGUAUAAACCAUCGCGUGAUCCCGACCGCCACGCAAAGGAUGACAAUCAAUAUACUAAUCAUGCUCAGGUUUCAUCACAUAGCGGUUCACCAUACGUGCAUGCUACGAGAAUCACUAACUUCAACACAAGUAUUUCUAGAUCCACAACACCUUACUAGCAUGACUUCAAUAUUACCAUAACCACAACUCAAAACUAAUUGAGAUGAAUCAAACUUCUCUAACUAUUCAAUGCACAUGAAGGUGGAAGUUUUCGUAUCCCUUUGGAUAACUACCCAUUUUGAGAUUACUUUCAAAGCAUAGAUCAACUACCAAGCCACGCACCGCUGUGCUCUAAAAGAUAUAAGUGAAGCACAUAGAGCAAAAGUAUCUAGCUCAAAAGAUAUAAGUGAAGCACAUGUGAGCUGAAUUGUCUACCAAAAGAUAUAGGUGAAGCUCGACAAAAUCACGGUGUGUGCAUGUCUCUCUCUCUAGGUGUGAAGCAAGGAUGAUUGUGACACAACAAAAAUAAAAGACUCCUAUGAUACAAGACGCCCCAAGCAAAAACACAUAACAUGUGGUGAAUAAAAUAUAGCGCCAAGUAACGUUACCGAUGGAUUGAAGACGAGAGAGGGGAUGCCUUCCCGGGGCAUCCCCAAGCUCAGGAUUUUACGGCAUUGUUGAAUAUCUUGGGGUGCCUUCGGCAUCCCCAAGCUUGAGCUCUUGCCACUCUUUAUAUCUUUGUCCAUAAGAACUUCACCCAAAACUUGAAAACUUCACAACACGAAACUUAAACAGAAUCUCGUGAUAACAUUAGUACAAGAAAGCAAACCACCACUUCCUUAGGUACUGUAGCAAACUUAAAUUAUACUUGUGCUGAUGUUGGGUUACUGUACUUUCAAUCUUCCAUGGCUAAUACCCCCCGAUACUAUCCAUAGUUUCAUCAAAAUAAGCAACCAACACAACAAAAACAGAAUCUAUUAACAGCAGACCAGUCUGUAGCAAUCUGUAUAUUUCGUAUACCUCUGGUACUACAAAAAUUCUGAACAAUUACGACAGUAUGAAGAAUUUGCGUAUCAAUCAGCAGCAAGAAGAAUCAACUCAAAAGCUCUUACAGCAAAACAAUGAAAAUUAUUUUCGUGAGCAGAAAGUUUCUGUCUUUUCCAACAUGACCAAACGAUCAUCCCCAAGACUAAUCAUAACGGUUUUGCUUGGCACAAACGCAAAAAGAAACACAAAAAACACAAUUUUAACAUAAUCAUGAAAGUGUGGAAAACACAAAACAGAAAGAAAAAGGAUAGAUUCGUUGGGUUGCCUCCGAACAAGCGCUUUUGUUUAACGCCCUUAUCUAGGCAAAAAGUGAUGGAAUCACGUAUAGUCAUCUUUGGUGCUCAAACCAUAGGUAGCCCUCAUCAUAGAUUCAUAAGGCAAGCUUAUUUUCUUUCUAGGAAAGUGCUCCAUGCCCUUUUUUAAAGGAAAUUGAAAUCUAAUAUUCCCUUCCUUCAUAUCGAUGAUAGCACCAAUAGUCCUUAGGAAAGGUCUACCAGGAAUAAUGGGACAUGAAGGAUUGCAAUCUAUGUCAAGUACAAUGAAAUCAACGGGUACAUAGUUCUUAUUUGCAACAAUAAGAACAUCAUCGAUCCUUCCCAUGGGUUUCUUGACAGUAGAAUCCGCAAGAUGCAAAUUAAGAGAACACUCUUCAAUCUCAUGAAAACCAAGAAUAUCACAUAAAGACUUUGGAAUCGCGGAAACACUAGCACCCAAAUCACAGAAAGCAUUGCACUCAUAGUUUUUGAUUUUGAUUUUGAUAGUAGGUUCCCACUCAUCAUGAAGUUUUCUAGGUAUAUAGACUUCUAUUUCGAGCUUCUCUUCAAGAGAUUUCAUCAUAGCAUAUACGAUAUGCGCGGUAAAGGCUUUGCUUUGGCUAUAAGCAUGUGGAGAGUUUGCAAUGGAUUGCAUGAAAGAAAUGCAUUCAAACAAGGAGCAAUUAUCAUAAUUGAAUUCCUUCAAAUCCAAAGUGGGAGUUUCAUUACUACCCAAAAUUUUGACUUCUUCUACUCCACUCUCCACACCUUUAUCAUCAAGAUAGGUGGACUCCGAAUCAUUGAGGCGUUUUUCAACCAAAGUGGGUUCAUAUCCAGCCCCUCCAUAAGUAGGUUUGACGCGCGAAAACAAAGAUGCAAGAGGAGACACACCAAGCACUUUAAGAUCUUCGUGAUUUGCAUCACUAGAACGCACCCUUUUAAACCAUUCAUGUCUAGCGCGAAUUUUGGCGGUUCUUUCUUUGCUCUCAUUCAUGGCGAUACGCAUAGCUUUCAAAGUUUCAUCCAAGUUGACCUUGGGAGGAGCUCAUCUAACUUUCAAAGCAUCAAUAUCACAAGACAUCCUAUCAACGCUUUUAGCCAAAUCGUCUAUUUUGAGUAGUUUUUCCUCUAUGGACGCACUGAAAAUCUUUUGAGAGUUGAUGAACUCUUUGAUAUUACUCUCUAGAUCAGAGGGUAAUUUGUUGUGAUUUCCAUAAGUAUUGUUGUAGGAAUUGCCAUAAUUGUUAGAGGAGUUACUAGGAAAAGGCCUAGGAACAUAGUUUCCUCUAAAAGCAUUAUUGUUGCCAAAAUUGUUCCUACCAACCAAAUUCACGUCCAAACUAGCAUUGCUACUCUCAAUCAAAGAAGAUAAUGGCAAGCUAUUAGGAUCUACGGUAGCGUUUCUACUAGCAACCAAAUUCAUCAACUCGUCCGUCUUAGCACUAAGCGAGUUAAUUUCUUCUAUAGCGUGCACCUUUUUGCUAGCAGGCGACCUUUCAGUGUGCCACUGAGAGUAGUUGGUCAUGAUAUUGUCUAUGAGUUUUGUAGCGUCUCCUAACGUGAUUUCCAUGAACGCUCCACCUGAGGCGGAGUCCAAGAUAUUGCGAGAAGCGAAAUUCAAGCCAACGUAAAAGAUUUGUAUAAUCAUCCACAAACUCAAGCCAUGAGCGGGACAAUUUCUAAUCAUAAGCUUCAUCCUCUCCCAAGAUUGUGCAACGUGUUCAUGAUCAAGUUGCUUGAAAUUCAUGAUAUCGUUACGUAAGGAGAUGAUCUUAGCCGGCGGAAAAUACUUGGAUAUGUAAGCAUCUUUGCACUUAUCCCAAGAAUCGAUACUAUUUAUUUGCAAAGAAGAAAACCAAGUUUUUGCGCGAUCUCGCAACGAGAAAGGAAAAAAGUUUCAACUUAAUCACGUCAUUACCCACAUCUCUUUUCUUAUGCAUGUCACAAAUCUCAAUGAAGGUAUUGAGAUGGGAUGCGGCAUCUUCACUAGGAAGGCCAGAGAAUUUCUCUUUCAUAACAAGAUUCAGCAAAGCUGCGUUGAUUUCAUACGAUUCCGCACUAGCAGCGGGAGCAAUCGGACUACUAAUAAAAUCAUUAUUAUUAGUGAUCGAGAAGUUGCAAAGUUUGGUGUUUUCAACCAUGAUGACUUCAACAAACAAACAAGCACACAAGCAAGCGAGAAAACCGGCAAAGGGAAACGACAAAGGCAAAAGAAAACGGCGAAGGAGAAAGGCAAAUGAAAACGACAAAUGUGAAGUGGGGGAGAGGAAAACGAGAGGCAACUGGCAACAAAAGUAAAUGCAAGAGAAGAGUUUGCGAGACCUACUUGGAUAGAUCUUGAUUUCUUCUCCCCGGCAAUGACACCAUAAAUACUUCUGCUACUGCAACAAAAGACCUUCCAAUGGCGCCAGAAAUAGGCACGUUGACGGGAGAAUACAUGGCUUGAUCCUUCUGCUGCGGCUACGCCUUAAGGGACUUCCUAGGCAAGUAUGCAAAGGAUUUCCCCCGUGGCCUUGGAGCCUUGCGUUGGUGUUCCCUCGAAGCGGAAAGGGUGAUGUAGCGUAGCGGUGGUAAGUAUUUCCCUCAGCUUGAGAACCAAGGUAUCAAUCCAGUGGAGGAGUAUCUCAAGAUCCUGCACAAACACAAAAGCUUGCUCCCAACGCUAUGAAGGGUUUGUCAAUCCCUUAUAGAUUGUUUACCAAGUGAGAACUGAAAGCAACAAAGUAACAAAGCAAAGUAAAAGCGGAGGUGUAAACGAUGGAUGUGAAUAGACCCGGGGGCCGUAGUGUUUACUAGUGGCUUCUCUCAUUGUAGUGCCCCGGAUGUAAACCUACCCUAUUUGGACCUACUUCAUGUGGGACCACCUUGACUUUGUCAUGAGAGUUAUCUAUGCAUGUAUGAUUUCAUGUGUCACCUUGUGUUCUUCUUUUGCAUGCAUGCAUCCAUGUCAUACCUUUCUUACCAUGCCUUGUGUGCUUGCUUCUAUACCUUGCCAUGUCUUGGAGUGGGCCUUGUAAUUUCAUGUGUUGAUGUCAUGUGAUGAUGGUGUGUGGAGUGUAGGAGUGGUUGCUUGGGAUUUUCAAAGCUCAUUGCAAUUUCAAACCCUUUUUCCUCUCCUAUUAUCUCAUGUUCAAAAUUCCAUCUUCACAAAAGCUGUUUUAAAUGUCUGGUGUUUAGAGGUUAUUGUGGAGAUGAUGAUGUGAUGGUGUGGAGUUUUAUUUUGGUCUUGAGGGUGAAUAUAAAUCACAAAACAGUAUAAUUAAUUGCUGUUUUGUAUUUAUUUAAAUGCCCCAUAAAAUUCCUUUUGCAUUUUAUUUAAAAAGCUUAGGUAUUUUUAGGCCCAGGGUCAUUUUUGUUUUGAUUUUAUAAUCAGUAGUAGCCCUGUGGUUUUUAUUUUCUUUCUCUGUAAUUUAUCUAAUUAGAAAUAAAUCUCCAGGGCUGUUUCUCUAUUUUCUUCUCUGGUGGGCUUCCCCCCACUCAGAGAGGCCCAGUGUCUCCUCUCCCCCUCGCGCAGCGCAGCCCACCGCGUCCCUCUUCCUCCUCCCGUCGACGUCACGCUGUACGACUCCUCCUCCUCCACCGAUUUGCCAUGGCUUGAUCCUGUGGCUCAAGCGCCUCCCCCGAGGUAAUAUAAGGUGGAGGGAACCUUCCUCCUCCCCUAGGGUUCGCUCUCCUUCCCGCAGCGCCGCCACCACCUCCCUCCUUUUCUUCUCCCUCUCCCUGAUAAGUCCUCUGUAGAGUAGGAACAGAGAGAGAGAGAGAGUUCGGCCGCCGCGUCUACCCCGUCUACUCCAUUGAGCAGCGCCGGCGGCCAUGUCAAGGGGCACGGGGACGGUCCCCGCGCUCCAUUUUCGUCCUCGGUGAGGUCGAGGGUCAUCUACAACGCCGGCCAGGAGCACGUCAAGGCGCCUGCUCCGGUGUUCUGCUCCGUCUACCUCCGUCGUCAGCAACCGGCAGCAGGGCCUUCUCCCGCGCGCCUCCCUCCUCUCCGGCCGGCGUCCACCACCGAGCGGCUACUCCUUCUUCCCCCGAGGUGAGCCGGCCCUCUCCUCCCUUCGCCCUCGUUGGAUCCGACGAGUCGGUUGCAGGAAGUCCCUGCCGUGCGGUAGCACCAGGUGUUGAUGCAGUCUGGAGCUUUACAUGUUGUGUGCAGUAGCAGUAGCAGUAGGAAGUUCUUCCUCCUCGUGGUGCAGCAGCGUAGCGUCUUGUUCUCCCCGCGACGCAGCAGCAGUAGCAGCAGUGCGGUGCACCGGCGGCCUCGCUGUUGCCGGCGCACCUCCGUGCAGUGCAGGCACGCAGCAGCAGUAGUAUUUUUCCCAAUACUACUCUAGUCUGUGAGAAGCCGUUUCGUAGCCCAGUGGUAACUAGCGUUGCGUGCCUGUUGGAGGGCGCGGGUUCGAUCCCCCCUCGGCGCUAUUUUUGUUUUCUAUUUUUCCUGCACAGUAGCAUCAGGUACAUGUUAGCCUGAUUGCCUACCCUACCUUGUCAACGAAGUGGCAGUGGUGUAGUGGUAGGCUCUGUUGUUGUGUACCAGGAGGUACUGGUUUCGAUUCCCAGGAGCGUGAUGCAUAUUUCUGUUUUUUUGUUUGCUUUCCUUUUAUUUUUUGUUGCUUCCUUUUUCUUAGGAAUAGACAGCAAGGUGUCCUAUUUAAUAUUUUUCCUGCUGGUGUAGAUGGGUGCUGAUUGUGUUGUGUGUGUGUUUUGCACACUAAUAUGGUGAUAGAUGGUGUUGGUGGCUUAAGUGAUAUGUGUGUGCAUGUGGUCUUGUUAGUUUAUGUUGGUGUGAUUGCAAGUAGGCAUGUGUGCAUAGGGGUUGUAAGUGAAGUUGCUGGUGUAGGUAUGGAGAUGUGUUUGUUCUGAGUGCACACACUUGUGGUACCUACUAAAAGUGUUUGAGAGGUGAUGCUUCCAAGUUACUUGCUUAGCAUUUUUCCCCCUCGUGUUGUUCUCUGGUUUAAGAGCAUGAUGUUGAUGUAUAUGAUGUGCUUGACAUAUGUGUGUGUGGGGAACUUCCCCACCUUUGCAAAACUAUGCACCUUCACAUGUUUAUAUGUGAGAGGGCAUGGUGUUUGUGUGUGGGGAUAGUUUGGUAGAUGUGCUUGUGAUGUUGAUGUGCAUGACACAAACAUGGGGUUCAAACCCCCAUGUGACUUUUUCAUUGUGCACAUGAACCCAACCUUUGUAGUUGUUGUCUUAGUAGGAUACCUUAUGGAGUUGACAUAUUCAGAUUUGUUGCAAGUUUGAUCUUUGAUUCCAUCUCUAGACUUGUUAUGUUAGUUUCGUUUCCAUGUCAUAGUGCUCGCUGUCUACCACUGAAAUUAAAUUGCCUCUUGAAAUGCCAUGAGCCCAAACAUCGUUCUCCUUCCUAGCAAACUUGUGUGGCUAAGUAGGCUUGCUCAGCUACUAAUGUUAGCAUUGCUAGUUGCAGGUGUUUUUGACUCAUGUGAUAAAGAUGAGCUUGAUAUCAUUAUCUUAAAUUCUGUUAUUUAAUUAAUGCACCUAUAUACUUGGUAAAUGACGGGAGGCCUAGCCUUUUUCCGGGUGCUUUGUUCCGUUAUUGCCACCUUAGUUAUCGGUUACCGGUGUUUGAUUCCAUAAUGAUCGCUCCUAACACGUUCGGGGUUGUUAUGGGGACCCCCUCGAUAAAUCGCGUAGUACUAAGGCUUGUCCGGCAGGACCCAACAUUGCUAUUAAUUUGCUAAUCACUUAAUAAUAAACUGCAUAGGGAAUAGCUACCCCAAGGAUUUAAUCAACAACCCGGGCCAGUGCUCCUCAUGAGUGUUGGUCCAAACUGGGCAGACUAUGGGGCCACCACAGGGCAACCUGAGGUUUGGUAUACCUGUAGUGUGACUCAUCCGGCGUGUCCUGAGACUGAGAUAUGCGGCUCUUAUCAGGGUCGCCGACACGUCGGGAGGUCCUGCUAGCAUUGCCUUACCUUAGCGGUAUAUCUUGCGUAUAGGAAUCCCAGUGAAGCUUUGGUUCCCCCAGAGUUGAGGUUUUCCUCUAAGGAAUCCGACGAGAUCACGAGAUUCGUGAUAGAGGAUGCCUUUGCGGCCUGUGUUCGUUUGUGAUGGAGUAGUUGGAGCACCCCUGCAGGGUUUAAUCUUUCGGAAAGCCGUGCCCGCGGUUAUGUGGAAACUUGGAAUAUUUUGUUAACAUCCGGUAUUAGAGAACUUAAACAUAAACUAAUAAAACUGCCAACUGUGUGCGUAACCGUGACUGUCCCUUCGAAGAUCUCUCUUCGAUCGGGAACACGGUGGGGUUAUGAAUGCCGUAGGUAGGUGUUCAGGAUCACUUAGUGAUCAAGUAAUCCCGACCGCUAGCGUAGACCACCUUCACUUCUACUUUGCGUAAGUUAGCCACUUAAUCAAGCUUAGGAUGCUGCAGCCUGAUACACUUCACCCUUACCUUACCCAAUAACAUGACUAGUUCUGGCACCAAGGUCUUGGAUUGUUGAGUCCCCGUGGCUCACGGAUUCCUCCGAAACUCCCAGCAGGUACAGGUACCCCAGAGACAGAUGAUCCCGACGGCACCCAGCUGGCGUGGCAGUACGACGAGGAGACAGACCGCCUCUACGUGAACUAUCCAGAGGACUGAGGCGUGGUCGUGAUCGUGGGCCUGCAGGUAGGGUAGCAUAGCAUUUUCCAUGUGUUGUAGUCCGUAGCGGAACUACCUUGUUUGUAUCUGUGUUGUAUUCUGAGUUAUUAAUAAGAAGAUAGUUGAAUCCCGAAUUGGCUACUGGUAUUAUUUUUUGUGCUAUGUUACUUGCGAAACGCUUAGAUGCGCUUCUUUCCUAUUUGGGGGCCUCGACCCCCAGAUCGGAAAGGACCACAUCUUAGUCGUUACAGUCAUGAAAGCAAGUAGAUGGUGGGUGAACAAAUUACUGUCGGCAAUUAAUAGAACCGCGCAAAGUCGUGACGAUAUCUAUGGCAAUGAUUAUAUCUAUAGGCAUCACGUCCAAAACAAGUAGACCGAUACUUUCUGCAUCUACUACUAUUACUCCACACAUCGACCGCUGUCCAGCAUGCAUCUAGUGUAUUAAGUCCAUAAGAACAGAGUAACGCCUUAAGCAAGAUGACAUGAUGUAGAGGGAUAAUCUCAAACCAAUGAUGAAAACCCCAUCUUUUUACCCUUGAUGGCAACUACUUAAUGUGUGCCUUGCUGCCCCUACUGUCACUGGGAAAGGUCACCACAUGGUAGAACCCAAGACCAAGCACUUCUCCCAUUGCAAGAAUCAUAGAUCUAGUUGGCCAAACAAAACCCUAGACUCGGAGAGAGUUACAAGGAUAUCAAAUCAUGCAUAUAAGAAAUCAGUAAAGACUCAAAUAUAUAUCAUAGAUAAUCUGAUCACAAAUCCACAAUUCAUCGGAUCUCGACAAACACACCGCCAAAGAAGAUUACAUCGGAUAGAUAUCCAUGAAGAUCAUGGAGAACUUUGUAUUGAAGAUCCAAGAGAGAGAAGAAGCCAUCUAGCUACUAACUACAGACCCGUAGGUCUGAAGUGAACUACUCACGAGUCAUUGGAGGGGCGAUGAUGAUGAUGAAGAAGCCCUCCAACUCCAAAGUCCCCUCCCGCAGGGCGCCGAGAAGGGUCUCCAGGUGAGAUCUCGCGGAAACAGAAGCUUGCGGCGGCGGAAAAGUAUUUUCGAGGCUCCCCUGAUUUUUUCCAGAAUUUUUGGGAAUAUAUAGGCCAAGGAUCUAGGUCAGGGUGCGGCCAGGGAGGCCAUAAGCCGUGACACCGCCGCCUCCCCCCUGGUGGCGGAGUGGGAGCUUGUGGGCUCCUUGGAGCCACCUGGCUUGGCCCAGAGGCCCCGUGUUCUUCUUCCGUUCAGGAAACAAACAUUUUGGGUUUUUAUUCCGUUUGGACUCCGUUCCAAAAUUAGAUCUGAAAAGAGUCAAGAACAUAGAUAAAACAAGAACUAGCACUUGGCACUGAAUUAAUAAGUUAGUCCCAAAAAAGAUAUAAAAGGUACAUAAAACAUCCAAAGAUGACAAGAUAACAGCAUGAAACCAUCAAAAAUUAUAGAUACGUUUGAGACGUAUCAGGGCCCGAGUGCCAUGAUUUCAGAUCUGAACCUAUUUUGUUGUCGCAAAUAUAUGUGUGUUUUAGAUCCUAUCUUGCAAGUUGUAGUCACCUACUAUGUGUUAUGACCCUACAACCCCGGAGUGACAAUAGCCGGAACCACUCCCGGAGAUGACCAUAGUAUGAGGAGUUCAUGUAUUCACCGCGUGUUAAUGUGUUGGUCCGGUUCUUUAUUAAAAGGACAACCUUAAUAUCCCGUAGUUUCCAUUAGGACCCCGCUGACAUGGGAGGGAUGGACAAUAGAUGUCAUGCAAGUUGUUUUCCCUAAGCACGUAUGACUACAUACGGAAUACAUGCCUACAUUAGAUUGACGAACGGGAGCUAGUUACAUAUCUCUCCGUGUUAUAGUUGUUACAUGAUGAAUCACAUCCGUCACACUCAUCCAUCACCAAUCCACUGCCUACGAGUCUUUUACUACUGGUCCUCGCUACGUUACUUUGUCUAGGCUUGUCCUUUGCUCAAAAGGGAUUGGGCCACUCUGUUGCUACUGCUGUUACUCUGCUGCUGCUGCUACUGCUGUUCCUUGCUACUUCGCAGUUAAUUGUUGCAAGAUCCUUUUUCGUCAACAUUGUCGGGCAACUUACUGGCGCCAUUGAUACAAUAGUUAGGAAUAGUCUGCCGUCAACAGAUCGUUUCUGGCACCGUUUCUAUCAUACCACUUUGCUACUGAUACUUUGCUUGGAGAUACUAAUAUUUCAGGUGUGGUUGAAUAUGACAAACUCAGCUACUAAUACUUGAGAAUAUUCUUUCUCUUCUCCUUUGGCGAACCAACAAAUUUGGGUUGAAUACUCUACCCUCGAAAACUGUUGUGACCCCCUACACCUGUGGGUUAUCAAGGCUUUUUCUAGCGCCAUUCCCGGGGAAGCACAACUAUAUUCUCUGAGUCACUUGGGAUUUUCGUCUGCUGAUCACUAUGAGGAAUUCGAAAGAUCCAAGAACUAAAAUCUUGCCUUCCACUACGAGGAGAGGUAAGGAAUUGCCAUCUAGCUCUGCACUUGAUUCACCUUCCGUUAUGAGUAAGUUUGCGACUACGCCUCCUGCUAGAAAUCUUGAUAUGUUGCCUGUGCUUGAUGAUGCUACUUCUGCUGCCCAGGAUGCUUAUGAUGAUGCUAUGCUUGAUACUAUGCUUGAUGAUGCCAUGCUUGAUACUAUGCCUGAUGAUGCCAUGUUUGAUACUAUGCCUGAUGAUGCUAUGCUUGAUACAAUGCCUGAUGAUGCUAUGCUUGAUACUAUGCCUGUUAUGCCUGAUACUGCUUUGCCACUUGGUGCAUUCCUUGAUGCACAUAUUGCUAGAGUUGCUGCUAGAUGUGAUGAUACUUCUGAAAUUGCUCAUACUAUUGAAGUAGAACCUGCUACUAUGCCUGAAUUGCCUGUUAUGCCUGAUACGCGCUAUGUUAUGGAGGGAGAGAUAGAUGAGGACUUUCUUGCGUGUAAGGAUAGCUAUGAUGUUGAGAAAUUACUGCGCAAGUGGAAAGAAAAAAUCUCUGAACGCUAGGAUGAAAUACGACCCGAAGUUUGCCACUUCGCCUAUCUUCGUGACCGAUAAGGAUUAUGAAUUCUCUGUCGACCCUGAGUUAAUCACUCUAGUUGAAUCUGAUCCUUUUCACAGUUAUGAUUCUGAAACGGUUGUAGCCCACCUUACCAAACUGCACGAUAUAGCCACACUAUUCACUAGUGAGGAAAAUAUCUGCCACUACUAUAUGCUCAAGUUAUUUCCUUUCUCGCUAAAGGAUGAUGCUAAGACUUGGUUCACUUCUCUUGCUCCUGGUUGUGUGCGUAGCCCCCAGGAUAUGGUCUACUACUUCUCCGAAAAAUAUUUCCCUGCCCAUAAGAAGCAAGCUGCCUUGCAGGAAAUAUACAACUUUGCUCAAGCUGAAGAAGAGAGUCUCCCACAAGCUUGGGGGAGGCUUAUCCAGCUACCGAAUGCUUUGCCUGAUCACCCUCUUGAGAAGAAUGAAAUACUUGAUAUCUUCUAUAAUGGACUUACCGAUGCUUCCAAAGACCACUUAGAUAGUUGUGCCGGCAGUGUUUUUAGGGAACGAACUGUAGAACAAGCUGAGAUUCUGUUGAACAACAUCUUGUGCAAUGAGAAUGCUUGGACUAUUCCCGAACCACCUCCUAAGCCAAAUCCGAAGAAAAGAGGUAUUAUAUUCUUCAGUCCUAAAGAUGUGCAAGAAGCCAAUAAAUCUAUGCGAGAGAAAGGCAUUAAAUCUGAAGAUGUCAAAAAUCUACCACCUAUCGAAGAGAUCCAUGGUCUCGAUAACCCGAUACAGGUAGUAGAAGUAAAUUAUCUGCGUUGGUUUGAUGAAAGUGAUAUUCCUUUUGAUAAACCUGCUAGCCUAUUGAUGGAUGAAUUUGAUAACUUCGUUGCCAAACAACAGAGUUUCAAUGAUUAUGUUAGCAUACAAUUGGAAAAGAAUACUCGUAUGCUUAGUCAUUUAAGUGCUUGUGUGGACAGAAACGUCAAUGAUCUUAAGCUUAUGAGUAAACAUGCCUCUAUGGUUACUACUCAGGUAGAACAAGUACUUAAAGCUCAAAAUGACUUGCUCAAUGAGUUGAAUGACAAUUCCGUCAGAGUCGUCACUAGAGGCGGUAGAAUGACCCAGGAACCUCUGUAUCCUGAGGGUCAUCCGAAGUGAAUUGAACAAGAUUCUCAAGGAGUUAGCACUGAUGCACCUAGUCAUCCUGGAAAUAAGAAGAAAGAUGAUAGGAACCUGCAUGCUAGCAACCCUGUUGCUGCUACACCUGAGAGUCCAAACGAUUCCUCUAUCUCUGAUGUUGAAACACAAUCUGGUGAUGAACAUGAUCCUAAUGAUGAUCUCAAUAGUGAUGUUUGAUACGUCUCCAGCGUAUCUACUUUUCCAAACUCUUUUGCCCUUGUUUUGGACUCUAAUUUGCAUGAUUUAAAUAGAACUAACCUGGACUGACGUUGUUUUCAGUAGAAUUGCCUUGGUGUUAUUUUUGGGCAGAAAUCAAAGUUCUCCAAACGCCCUGAAAAUCUACGGGGAGCAGUUUUGGAAAAUACAAAAAAUAUCUGCGCCAAGUUCCACCUGAGGGGGGUGGGCCAGUGGGCCACAAGACCUGGCUCCGCCACCACCCCCUGGUGGCGGUGGACAGGCUUGUGGGGCCCACACGGCUCUGCCGCCCCGAAUCUCACGUCUAUAAGAUUCCUUUCGUCCCAGAAAAAAGAGAAGUUCUCGUCGCGUUUACGAUACGGAGGCGCCGCCACCACAUGUUCUUCAUCUGGAGGGCAGAUCUGGAGUCCGUCUUGGGCUCCGGAGAGGGGAAAUCAUUGCCAUCGUCGUCAUCAACCUUCUUCCCUCUCCAAUUCCAUGAAGCUCUUUGUCGUUCGUGAGUAAUCUAUUCGUAGGCUCGCUGGGCAGUGAUGAGUAGGAUGAGAUCUAUCAUGUAAUCGAGUUAGUUUUGAUGGGGAUUGAUCCCUAGUAUCCACUAUGUUCUGAAAUUGAUGUUGCUACUACUUUGCCAUGCUUAAUGCUUGUCACUAGGGCCCGAGUGCGAUGAUUUCAGAUCUGAAAUUAUUAUGUUGUCACCAAUAUAUGUGUGUUUUAGAUCCGAUCUUGCAAGUUGUAGUUACCUACUAUGUGUUAUGAUCCGGCAACCCCGGAGUGACAAUAACCGGAACCACUCCCGGUGAUGACCAUAGUUUGAGGAGUUCAUGUGUUCACCAAGUGCUAAUGCGUUGGUCCGGUUCUUUAUUAAAAGGAGAACCUUAAUAUCCCGUAGUUUCCUUUUGGACCCGUUGCCACGGGAGGGAUGGACAAUAGAUGUCAUGCAAGUUCUUUUCCCUAAGCACGUAUGAUGACACACGGAAUGCAUGCCUACAUCACAUUGACGAACGGGAGCUAGCCACAUAUCUCUCCGUGUUAUAACUGUUGCAUGAUGAAUAUCAUCCAAACAAAUCACCGACCCAUUGCCUACGAGUUUGUCCUACUGCUGCUGUUACUUGCCUUGCUCUGUUGUUGUUACUGUUGUUGCUACUGAUGUUACUUGUCCUGCUCUGCUGCUAAUGUUGCUACUACUGUCGCUUGCUUCUGUUGCUACUUGCUACUGCUGUCACUACUGCUUUUCCUUGCCGCUGCUAUUGCUCGUUACACUGCUGCUACCUGCUACAAUUUUGGUUCGCUGGUCGUUGACGGGAACUGACAACUUCCGUCAACGAGGCAACUUGGCGCCAUUGAUACAAUUGUUAGGAAUAGUCUGCCGUCAACAGAUCGUUUCUAACACCGUUGUUAUCAUACUACUUUGCUACUGAUACUUUGCUUGUAGAUACUAAUCUUUCAGGUGUGGUUGAAUCUGACAUAUUCAGUUGCUAAUACUUGAGAGUAUCCUCUCACCUCCUAUAGGCGUACCAACAAAUUUGGGUUGAAUACUCUACCCUCGAAAACUGCUACGAUCCCAUGCGCUUGUGGGCCGUCAACAACAUUCUUCUAGUUUCGAUUGUUGGAGUGUGCUAGCUGCAUUCUUCUGGUGCCGUUGCAAGGGGAAGAAUAGUUGACAUCAAGCAUUUUUCUGGCACUGUUGCCGGGGAGGUAUUGCUAUAUUCUCUGAGUCACUUGGGAUUUAUAUCUGCUGAUCACUAUGAAGAAUGUGAAGGAUCCGAAGACCAAAGUCUUUCCCUCAACUACGAGGGGAGGUAAGGAAUUGCCAUCUAGCUCUGCACUUGAUUCACCUUCAGUUAUGAGUAAGUUUGCGACAUCACCUCCUGCUAGAAAUCUUGAUAUGUCGCCUGUGCUUGAUGAUGCUUAUGAUGCUACUGCUAGAGAUGAUGUGCUUGAUACUAUGCCUGAUGAUACUAUGCUUGAUACUAUGCAUGAUGAUACUAUGCUUGAUACUAUGCCUGAUACUACUAGAGAUGCUAUGCUUGAUACUGCUAGAGAUGCUAUGCUUGAUACUGCUUUGCCUGAUGAUGCUAGAGAUGCUAUUUUGCCUUAUGAUGCUAUGCUUGAUACUCCUAGAGAUACUACUUUGCCUGAUGUUCCACUAGGGGUAUUCCUUGAUGCUCAUAUUGCUAGAGUUACUACCAAUGCCUGUGAUGCUUCUGAAACUGCCGAUACUAUUGAGAUGGAACCUGCUUUUGCUACUGUUACAUCCAGCUCUCCUAGAUACGAAUUGCCUGAUAUACCUGAGGGUUAUGUUAUGGAGGGAGAGAUAGCUAAUGAUUUUCUUGCGUGUAAGGAUGCCUGUGACGCUGAGAAAUUACUUCUCAAGUGGAAGGAAAAAUCUCGGGAAGCUAAGAUGAAAUAUGACCCGAAGUUUGCCACUUCACCUAUCUUUAUCACCGAUAAGGAUUAUGAAUUCUCCGUCGAUCCUGAGAUAAUCUCUCUAGUCGAAUCUGAUCCUUUUCACAGUUAUGAGUCUGAGACGGUCAUAGCCCAUCUUGCCAAACUACACGAAAUAGCCAACCUUUUCACUAAUGAGGAGAAGAUCCGCCACUACUAUAUCCUUAAGUUGUUUCCUUUCUCUCUAAAGGAUGAUGGUAAAGCCUGGUUCACCUCUCUUGCUCCUGGAUGUGUGAGAAGUCCCCAGGAGAUGGUCUAUUACUUCUGUGAGAAAUAUUUCCCUUCCCACAAGAAGCAAGCCGCCUUGCAGGAAAUAUACAACUUCGCUCAACUCCAAGAAGAGAGUCUUCCACAAGCUUGGGGGAGGCUCGUCCAGCUACAGAAUGCUUUGCCUGAUCACCCUCUUAAGAAGAACGAGAUACUUGAUAUCCUCUAUAACGGACUUACCGAUGCCUCUAGAGACCACCUAGAUAGUUGUGCCGGUUGUGUUUUUAGGGAACGAACUGUAGAACAAGCUGAGACUCUACUGAAUAACAUCUUGAUCAACGAUAAUGCUUGGACUAUUCCCGAACCACCUCCUAAGCCAACUUCGAAGAAAAGAGGUAUUCUAUUCCUCAGUCCCGAAGAUAUGCAAGAAGCCAAGAAAUCUAUGCAAGAGAAAGGCAUUAGAUCUGAAGAUGUCAAAAAUCUACCACCUAUCAAAGAGAUCCAUGGUCUCGAUAACCCGAGACAGGUAGUAGAAAUGAAUUCUCUACGUAGGUUUGAUGAGAGUGAUAUUCCUUUUGAUAAACCUUCUAGCCUAUGCUUUGAUGAAUUUGACAACUUCGUUGCCAAACAACAGAGUUUCAAUGAUUAUGUUAGCAGACAUUUGGAACAAACUACUCGUAUGCUUAGCCAUUUAAGUGCUUGUGUAGACAGAAAUGUCAAUGAUCUGAAGCUUCUGAGUAAACAUGCCUCUAUGAUUACUACUCAGGUAAAACAAGUACUUAAAGCUCAGAAUGACCUGCUCAAUGAAUUAAAUGACAACUCUGUCAGAGUCAUUACUAGAGGAGGCAAAAUGACUCAGGAACCUUUGUAUCCUGAAGGUCAUCCUAAGAGAAUUGAUCAAGAUUCUCAAGGAAUGAAUGCUGAUACACCCAGUCAUCCUAAGGAGAAGAACAAGGAUGAUAGAAACCUGCAUGCCACUUCACAAAAUAUUUUCACACCUGAAGAACCUAAUGAUAUUUCUGCGUCUGAUGCAGAAACACAAUCUGGUGAUGAACAUGAACCUGGUGACAAUAUGGACAGUGAUGUUCAUAAUAAUGCUCAAUCUAGCAAUGAUGAGGAUGUGGAGAUUGAACCUACGGUUAAUCCUGAUAACCCACAACCUAAGAGAUACGAUAAGAACGACUUCACUGCUAGGAAGCAUGGUAAAGAAAGGUAGCCAUGGGUUCAGAGACCUAUGCCCUUUCCUCCUAAGCCAUCCAAGAAAAAGGAUGAUGAGGAUUUUGACCGUUUCGUUGAGAUGAUAAGACCCAUCUUUUUGCAAAUGCGUUUGACGGAUAUGCUCAAGAUGUCUCCGUAUGCUAAGUACAUGAAAGAUAUUGUGACUAAUAAGAGGAGGAUACCUGAGGUUGAGAUUUCCACCAUGCUUGCUUAUUAUACCUUCAAGGGUGGAACUCCUAAGAAACUAGGUGAUCCCGGUGUGCCCACUAUACCUUGCUCCAUUAAAGGCAACUACGUUAGAACUGCGUUAUGCGAUCUUGGAGCCGGUGUUAGCGUUAUGCCUCUCUCUCUUUAUCGUAGACUUGAACUGGAUAAGUUGACACCCACUGGAAUCUCUCUGCAAAUGGCCGACAAAUCAACUGCUUUCCCUAUCGGCAUUUGCGAGGAUGUGCCUCUUGUUGUUGCUAAUGUCAGUAUCUUAACAGACUUUGUUAUCUUGGAUAUUCCCGAGGACGAUGCCAUGGCUGUCAUCCUCGGAAGACCCUUUUUAAGCACAGGAGAGGCUGGUAUAGAUUGCAACAAAGGCAAUGUCACUUUCCAUGUCAAUGGUAAUGAGCAUACGGUGCACUUUCCGAAGAAACAAUAUCGAGUACAUUGCAUCAAUGCUAUCGAAAAAACUUCAUCGAUUCUUAUUGGGAGCUUUGAAUGCCCUAUUCCUCGUGUCAAGAUUAGGUAUGAUUUGCUUGUUGGGGAGAUACACAUCCCCAUUGAGGUGACCUAGUGACUAUUUGAAAAUUCUUCGUUCUCUAUUGCGAUUCGAAAAGGUUUGUCGAGGAGACUUGAUCAACCUCAUUGGCGGAUUUUCUUUCGAUGACCGUGAGAUGGAUGAAUCGAGGAGUCACAAUCCUCUAUUGAAAGUUUCCACUUUAGGUUGCUUAGAAGAAAAUUGAUAGAUUUGGUUUAGUUUUCCUUGUUUUCUGUUUUAGCUUCCGGUGGAAAAGUACCCCGAAAAUAAAAGUUCUCCGAACGCUGUGAAAAUCAAGUAUGAUUUUUUCUGGAAUUUUUGAAAACUUCUGGGACAAAGAGUCUGUCUGGGGGCCACACCAGUGGGCCACAAGCCCUAGUGGCGCGGGAACCCCCCUGGCCGCGCCACCCAAGUUUGUGGGGCCCACAGGCACCCCCUCCACUCAUUCUUGCUCUCAUAUGCUUCUCCUACCUCUAGAAAAUAUUGUUUCGCAGCUCAACCCGUGUUCUUGCUCCUCUUGCUGGGAUUUUCGAUCUCUUUGCUCAAAUCACCGUUCUCCGAACUGUUUUGGGGAAAUUACUCCUUGGUAAGUGACUCCUCCAUUGGUCCAAUUAGUUUUUGCUCUAGUGUCUUAUACUCCGCGUAUUUUUGCUGCCUUGGUGACCAUGUUCUUGCGCUUUGCAUGCUAAUUCUAGCUUAUCCAAAGUAGUUUUGAUGCGUAAUAUGGUCUCUAGGCACUUGUGGGAGUAGUUGCUACGAGUUUAGUUGAGCCUUAUUCACUUUUCCUUAGAAUCACUAAAAAUUUCAGAAAUUUUUAGAGAUAGAAAAGCGGAAAGAUGAGGAGGUUAUUAAGAGGCUCGUCAAGCCGUGACCCCAAGGAUGAUGGGAGUGAGAAGAAGCCCAAGUAUCUAGUCCCUCGAGUCGUAGAAGUUUGAGCGUGCAAGUGGCCAAGCAAUGUGUUCUUACGCGCCGCUAGAAUUUACGAGGACUUUUAUCACUUGGUGGAGAACGCAGGCCUUACCGCCUUCGUUGAAGAUAAAUGUCCGCAAUACCUCCUCCUCACUAAUAUCUUCGUACAAAGCUUUAACUUCUAUCCAAGGAAGAAUCCUCCUAUGGUUGAGUUCAAACUUUAUGAUAUCCCCCAGCGCAUGUCACUCCAGGAUUUUUGCAAUGUUUGCAAAUUGCCUUACGUUGGGGAUAUUCAUGAACCUCGUCCACGGGACUUGGAAGCUUUCAUCGGUACAAUUGCUGUAGGAGAGGAGAGAGGAGUGUCUUGCGCUAGAGCUGCUAGCAUACAUUUUCCCGUGCUUCGGUACUUCUCACUAUUUAUGGGAAAAUGUUUGAUUGGUCGUGGGAAAGCUAGGUCACUUAGUUCCCCAGAUCUUGCGGUCUUGCGCGAAGCCCUUUAUAACGAUAAAACUUAUAGCUUGGGUGCUAUAGUAGCUCAACGGUUGAACCUGAACCGUUCUAAGGGUGUUGUCUAUGGAGAUAUCAAUGCUACUCGUCUUGCUAGACACUUUGAGAUACCUAUUAGACUGGACGAGGAAGAAGAGAUUCUUCUUCCCGAGAGAUAUCUAGAUUACAAUAGCAUGGUUCGCCAUGACUUUCUUGAUAGAGAUAUAAGUAGAAGGAUGAUUUGUAACCUGGUAUUUAGUCAGGGUACUCGUGAGACUAUUAAUUUGCCUGCUCCUUCUUUGUUCAAUCUUCAUGCAGGCAGGUACACUAUUAUGCCCUCGGACAUCUACGCAUAUUGGGGCUUAGCCCAACCACAGGUGCCCGUGCCCGAGCCGCUAGUCGAGUACCAGACGCUAGUUUAUCAGUGGGAGCCAAAGGAGCUCACACAGUAGUGGCAUUCUCAGUCCACUCCGGAGUACCCUGGAGCUGGUUAUUUCCCUCCUUGAGUGUAGACAAACUUAGGCCAAAAGCCUAAGCUUGGGGGAGUACAUGUUCUCACCGACUUUACAUGCUUGCUUAUGGUUUCACUUUGUUCGUCGGUGUUCACACUUUGCCACUGUAUCAUUGAUACGUCCAUUUUGCAUCAUGCUUUCAGGUUGACAUUUAUUGCUUUAUUGGCUGUUAUAUUACUUUGUGGUACCAUAUUUAUGCCUUUUCUCUCUUAUUUUGCAAGGUUUAUUUGAAGAGGGAGAAUUCAAGCAGCUAGAAUUCUGGACUGGAAAAGGAGCAAAUCUUUGUCCACUAUUCUGCACAUCUCCAAAUACCCUGAAAAGUUACGUGGAAUUUUUUGGGAUUAUAUAAAAAAUACUGGGCGAAAGAAGUACCAGAGGGGGGCUGCCAGGGCGCCACAAGCCCUGCCACCGCCACCCCCCUCGUGGCGGAGGGCAAGCUUGUGGGCUCCCUAACGGCCCACUAGGCCCCCUCUUUUGCUAUAUGAAGGGUUUCGAUCCAGAAAAAAAUUCAAUCGGGAGCUUUUUCGUGGUUUCGCCGCCGCCACGAGGCGGAACUUGAGCAGAUCCAAUCUAGAGCUCCGGCAGGACGAUCCUGCCGGGGAAACUUCCCUCCCGGAGGGGGAAAUCAUCGCCAUCGUCAUCACCAACACUACUCUCAUUGGAGGGGAGACAUCUUCAUCAACAUCUUCAUCAGCACCAUCUCCUCUCCAAUCCCUAGUUCAUCUCUUGUAAUCAAUCUNCAGAAGCUUAAACCCCAGCCUAUGCGUUGCUUCGUAAGGGGCUGAUUUGGAUCCACUAGUUUAAUGCUAUGGUUAGACGUUGUCUUAAUUUUUCUUUCGUAGUUGCGGAUGCUUGCGAGAGGGGUUAAUCAUAAGUGGGAUGCUUGUCCAAGUAAGGGCAGUACCCAAGUGCCGGUCCACCCACAUAUCAAACUAUCAAAGUAACGAACACGAAUCAUAUGAACAUGAUGAAAGUAGCAUGACGGAAAUUCCCGUGUGUCCUCGGGAGCGUUUUUCCCCCUAUAAGACUUUGUUCAGGCUUGUCCCUUGCUACAAACGGGAUUGGGCCACUUGCUGCACCGUUACUUCUACUUGUUACUUUUCGCUUGCUACGUUUCAGUGCUUGCAGUUAUUACCUUGCUGAAAACCGUUUAUCAGAGCCUUCUGUUCCUCAUUGGGUUCGACACUCUUACUUAUCGAAAGGACUACGAUUGAUACCCUAUACUUGUGGGUCAUCAAGACUCUUUUCUGGCGCCGUUUCCUGGGAGUGAAGCGCCUUUGGUAAGUGGAAAUUGGUAAGGAAACAUUUUUAUAUCGUGCUGAAAUUUAUUGUCACUUGUCACUAUGGAAACUGUUCCUUUGAGGAGUUUGUUCGGGGUAUCUUCACCACGAAUGGAAGCACGAGGAGUUGUUCCUCAACCUGAGGUACCUACUGAAAAUAUCUUUUAUGAAAUUCCUUCGGGUAUGCUUGAGAAACUGUUGGCUAAUCCUUUCAUAGGAGAUGGAUCUUCACAUCCAGACUUGCAUCUAAUCUAUGUAGACGAAGUUUGUGGUUUAUUUAAGCUUGCAGGUUUGCCCGAGGAUGAGGUAAAUAAGAAAGUCUUUCCUUUAUCUUUGAAGGAUAAGGCGUUGACAUGGUAUAGGCUAUGUGAUGAUACUGGAUCAUGGGGCUACAAUCGGUUGAAAUUGGAAUUUCAUCUACAGUUCUAUCCUAUGCAUUUAGUACAUCGUGAUCGGAACUUUAUUUAUAACUUUUGGCCUCGUGACAGGGAAAGCAUAGCUCAAGCUUGGGGGAGGCUUAAAUCAAUGCUAUAUUCAUGCCCCAAUCAUGAGCUCUCGAGAGAAAUCAUCACUCAAAACUUUUAUGCUCGGCUUUCUCAUGAAGAUCGUACCAUGGUUGACACUUCUUGUACCUGUUCUUUUAUGAAGAAGGAUACUGAUCACAAGUGGAAUUUAUUGGAGAGAAUCAAACGCAACUCUGAAGAUUGGGAGAUGGAGGAAGGUAAGGAGUCAGGUAUGAAUUUCCAGUUUGAUUGCGUUGAAUCUUUUGUUGAGACAAACACUUUUAGAGAUUUUAGCGCUAAGUAUGGACUUGACUCUGAGAUAGUAGCUUCUCUAUGUGAAUCUUUUGCUGCUCAUGUUGAUUUUCCCAAAGAGAAGUGGUUUAAAUAUCAUCCUCCUAUAGAAAGCAACAUAUCCAAAACCAAUCUAGUUGAGGAGAAAGUCACUGCAUUUAGUGAUCCAGUUGUUCCUUGUGCUUACACUGAGAAACCACCAUACCCUGCUAGGAUAAAGGAUUAUUUUAAAGCUCCAACUGUGAUACGUAGGGGUUACAUUAGACCACUUGCACCCCCUGAGGAGAUUAGAGUUGAACUAGUGUUGCUAUUAUCAAAGAUCUCUUAGCCGAAGACGUAGACGGGCAUGUUAUCAAAUUCUGUGAGGACUCCGCUAGAAUUGCUAAACCUCACGCGAAGGACAAAUACUGACAUGUAGUUGGCUUGCCUGUUGUUUCUGUCAAGAUACGAGAUCACUGUUACCAUGGUUUAUGUGAUAUGGGAGCUAAUGUUAGUGCAAUACCCCGUUCUCUAUAUGAUGAAAUCAAAGAUGAGAUUGCACCUGCUGAGUUAGAACCCAUUGAUGUCACUAUUACGCUAUCUAAUAGAGACACUAUCUACCCUGUGGGAAUUGUGAGAGACGAAGAAGUCAUGUGUGGUAAGACGAAGUAUCCUACUGAUUUCCUCGUCCUUGGUACUGCACAAGAUAGCUUUUGUCCCAUCAUAUUUGGUAGACCCUUUCUCAACACUGUCAAUGCUCACAUUGAUUGCAUUAAGCAGACUGUCACAGUUAGUUUCGAGGGUGUGUCUCAUGAAUUUAACUUCUCUAAGUUUGGAAGACAACCCCAUGAAAAAGAGUCGUCUGGAAGGGAUGAAAUCAUUGCUCUUGCCUCUAUUGUCGUACCUCCUGCGAAUCCUUUAGAGAAAUAUCUGCUUGAGCAUGAAAAUGAUAUGCAUAUGGAGGAGAGAGAUGAGAUAGAUAAAAUUGUCUUAGAACAAUAUCCUAUUCUCAAGAAUAAUCUGCCUGUUGAAUUGCUUGGGGAUCCACCCCCACCAAAGGGUGAUCCUGUUUUCCAGCUUAAACAGUUGCCUCAUACUCUUAAGUAUGCCUAUCUUGAUGAGAAGGAGAUAUAUCAUGUUAUUAUUAGUGCUCUCCUCUUAGAGCACGAAGAGAAAAAGUUACUAAAAACUCUGAGGAAGAACUGUGCUGCUAUUGGAUAUACUCUUGAUGAUCUUAAGGGUAUUACUCCUACUCUAUGUCACCACAAGAUUAAAACCGAUCCUGACUUUAAACCAGUUGUUGAUCACCAAAGGAGAUUAAAUCCUAAGAUGAAAGAGGUCGUUAGAAAAGAAAUAUUAAAGCUUCUGGAAGCAUGAAUCAUUUAUCCUGUUGCUCAUAGUGAUUGGGUAAGUCCAGUGCAUUGCGUACCUAAGAAGGGAGGUAUCACCGUCGUUCCUAAUGAUAAGGAUGAACGAAUCCCACAAAGGAUUAUUACCGGCUAUAGGAUGGUGAUAGACUUCCGGAAACUGAACAAGGCAACCAAGAAAGAUCAUUAUCCUUUACCAUUUAUUGACCAAAUGCUAGAAAGGCUAUCAAAACACACACACUUCUGCUUUCUAGACGGUUAUUCAGAUUUCUCGCAAAUACCUGUUGCACAAUCUGAUCAGGAGAAAACCACUUUCACCUACCCCUUCGGUACCUUUGCUUAUAGACGUAUGCCUUUCGGCAUAUGCAAUGCACGUGCCACUUUUCAAAGAUGUAUGAUGGCUAUAUUCUCUGACUUUUGUGAAAAGAUUGUCGAGGUUUUCAUGGAUGACUUCUCCGUUUAUGGGUCUUCCUUUGACGAUUGCCUCAGCAACCUUGAUCGAGUCUUACAGAGAUGCGAAAAUACCAACCUCGUCUUGAAUUGGGAGAAGUGCCACUUUAUGGUUAAUGAAGGCAUCGUAUUAGGAUACAAAAUCUCUGAAAGAGGCAUUGAAGUUGAUAAGGCUAAGGUUGAUGCAAUUGAGAAAAUGCCUUGCCCCACAGAUAUCACAGGUAUACGAAGUUUCCUAGGUCAUGCUGGUUUCUAUAGAAUGUUCAUUAAGGACUUCUCUAAGAUUUCUCGGCCUCUUACCAACCUCUUGCAGAAGGAUGUUCCUUUUGUUUUUGAUGCGGAUUGUGAGGAAGCUUUCGAAAUACUUAAGAAGGCUUUGAUAACCGCACCUAUUGUUCAACCACGUGACUGGAACUUGCCCUUUGAAAUCAUGUGCGAUGCUAGUGAUUAUGCUGUUGGUGUUGUUCUAGGACAGAGAGUUGACAAGAAGUUGAAUGUUAUUCACUAUGCUAGUAAAACUCUAGACAGUGCCCAAAGAAACUAUGCCACUAUGGAGAAGGAAUUUUUAGCAGUCGUGUUUGCAUGUGAACAGUUCAGAUCUUAUAUAGUUGACUCCAAAGUCACUAUUCACUCUGAUCAUGCUGCUAUUAAGUACCUUAUGGAGAAGAAGGACGCUAAGCCUAGGCUGAUCAGAUGGGUUCUCCUGCUACUGGAAUUUUAUUUGCACGUUGUUGACCGAAAGGGUGCUGAUACCCCUGUAGCAGAUAACUUGUCUAGGCUAGAGAAUAUCCUUGAUGACCCACGACCUAUUGAUGACAGCUUUCCUGAUGAGCAAUUAAAUGUCAUCCACACUUCACAUAGUGCACCGUGGUAUGCUGAUUACGCAAACUAUAUCAUAGCCAAAUACAUACCACCCAGUUUCACCUAUCAGCAAAAGAAGAAAUUCUUCUUUGAUUUGAGACACUACUUUUGGGAUGAUCCUCACCUUUAUAAGGCAGGAGUAGAUGGUGUUAUUAGACGUUGUGUACCUGAACAUGAACAGGGACAGAUCUUGCAGAAGUGUCAUUCCGAAGCCUACGGAGGACACCAUGCUGGAGAUAGAACUGCUCAUAAGGUAUUGCAAUCAGGUUUCUAUUGGCCCACUCUCUUUAAGGAUGCCCGUAAGUUUGUCUUGUCUUGUGAAGAAUGCCAAAGAAUAGGGAAUAUCAGUAAGCGUCAGGAAAUGCCUAUGAACUAUUCACUUGUCAUUGAACCAUUUGAUGUCUGGGGCUUUGAUUAUAUGGGACCUUUCCCGAGUUCCAGUGGGUACACUCACAUCUUAGUUGUUGUGGAUUACGUCACUAAGUGGGUAGAAGCUAUCCCCACUAAAAAUGCUGAUCACCAUACCUUUAUUAAGAUGCUUAAAGAAGUCAUUUUCCCAAGAUUUGGAGUCCCUAGAUAUCUGAUGACUGAUGGCGUUUCACACUUCAUUCAUGGUGUUUUCCGCAAGAUGCUCGCUAAGUAUAAUGUCAACCAUAGAGCUUCAUCUCCUUAUCAUCCUCAGUCUAGUGGUCAAGUGGAGCUGAGUAAUAGGGAGAUCAAGUUGAUCCUACAAAAGACCGUCAAUAGAUCUCGAAAGAAUUGGUCUAGCAAACUUGACGAAGCAUUAUGGGCUUAUAGAACUGCUUAUAAGAAUCCCAUGGGCAUGUCACCCUAUAAAAUGGUUUACGGUAAGGCCUGUCAUUUACCUCUUGAGCUGGAACACAAAGCUUAUUGGGCAAUCAAAGAGCUCAACUUCGAUUUCAAACUUGCCGGUGAGAAGCGGUUGUUUGAUAUCAGCUCGUUAGAUGAAUGGAGGGCCCAGGCAUAUGAGAAUGCCAAGUUGUUCAAGGAAAAGGUUAAGAGAUGGCAUGGUAAACGAAUACAGAAAUGAGAGUUCAAUGUAGGUGAUGAUGUCCAGCAAUACAAUUCUCGUUUGAGAUUCUUUGGAGGCAAGCUUCUCUCUAAAUGGGAAGGUCCUUAUGUUAUCGAGGAAGUAUAUCGUUCCGGUGCCAUCAAAAUCAAUAACACGGAAGGAAAAUUUCCUAGAGUGGUAAAUGGGCAAAGAAUCAAGCAUUACAUCUGUCAUACUCCCAUAAAUGUUGAGACCAAUAUCAUCAAUGUCAUAACUCCAGAGGAGUACAUAAGGGAUGUUUAUCAGCCUCUUUCAGACCCUGAAAAUGAAGAGGUAUCUGUUUCGGUAAGAAAUUGGACUCCGGCGCUUUCCCAAUAGGAAUUUUCCUCCGUUUUGGAAUUUUUGGAAAAUUAGAAAAAUAAAAAGCAGUCUGGAGUGCGCACGAGGCGGCCACAAGCCCUGCCACCGCCACCCCCUGGUGGCGGAGGGCAAGCUUGUGGGCACCUCGUGUGCCUCCCGGACUCCGUUUUCUUGCGGAGCCCUCCUUCUGGUCCAGAAAAAAUCAAUAUAUAUUCGCCCGAAGUUUUUGAUCUCCGUAUCGUGCAGUCUUCCUCUGUUUUCGUUUCGAGCCUGUUUCUGUGGCAGAUCUAGAUCAUCAUGACUUCCCCAAACGCUCCUAAGGACAAGAUCUUCGAGAAGGUCAUCAAUCCCUACCUCACGGAAGUGCUGAAACACCCUCAAUCUAUCAAGAUGAGCGAGGGGAUGUUGCACAUCCGUGAUGUUGAGGGGCCUAAGAAGACCGGAAGCAUGGAGACGAGGCUCGAAGCAAUGGAGCAAUAAGUCUUCAAGUGCCAGGGGAUGGUGGAGCGUGGACUCAACACCAACCACAUGAUGAUCACGAAGUUCACUAGCAAUCACAAGAUGGAUGCCAUUGACAUUGGGAAACACCUCUCCAGGUUCUAUGACAUGGUUGAACAACUUCAGGGCCAGAUCUAUGACCUACAGAAACAAAACUGUGAGUAUGAGUACAGAUUUAAAUCAAUAAGGUUGGCUGCAAAUUUGAGGAUUCCGGCGACUCGUUCAUCCUGCCAUGAUGGAGCACCUAUGCCUUGGAAGAGGGAGGAUCGGACUACUCCAACAACUCCACCACCAUUACCACCGAAGGAAGACAACUAAGCAUUGGUAUGGGUAAUCCCCUUGGCUUCUGCCAAGCUUGGGGGAGUUGCCCUGGUAUCGUAUCACCUUUAUAUCUUUUGCUUUUACCUUUGUUUUAGUUCUUUCCUUUUCAGUUUUUAUUUCUUCUCUUAGAGGAAUAAGUCUUUAGUAUUUAGUUUGAGUCUUUUGCUUUUGUCUCUCUCCCGAUGUACUCGAGCUUACGAGCUAUAUAAAAAAGAGUAUCUUAGUCAAGGGCUUUGCUUUGUGCCAUGAUCAAAAGUAUGAAAAGAACAAUAGCAUGAAAGAUCAUGAGACGAUCUUAUGGAAAGUGAUAGCUUCACAUAUGACACAUAUGAUGAUUGAAACUUGUUGUGAAUUAAUCAACAUAGACCUCAGUCAUUCUUGCAAUUAAUAAGAAGUAAUAAGGAAAGAGAGGUUCACAUAUAAAUAUAUCAUCCUAUACACUUUUUACAAUUGUGAGCACUCACCAAACUAUUACAUGUUAGGAGUAGAUGUUGGACAAGGAAGACAACAUAAUGAAUAGUGUUUGCUUGGUUCCAAACAAUGUUAUAUGAUUAGAGAUCCCUUAGCAUGUGACGAUUGCUUCCACCUCAUGUUAGCCAAAACUCCCGCACCAAGUAGAGAUACUACUUGUGCAUCCAUAAACCUUCAACCCAGUUUUCCCAUGAGAGUCCACCAUACCUACCUAUGGAUUGAAUAAGAUCCUUCAAGUAAGUUGUCAUCGGUGCAAGCAAUAAAAAUUGCUCUCUAAUAUGUAUGAUCUAUUAGUCUGUGGAAAAUAAGCUUUGUACGAACGUGUCAUGAGGAAGACAUAAAAGCGAUAGACUGCAUAAUAAAGUUCUUUAUCACAGGAGGCAAUAUAAAGUGACGUUCCUCCGCACUAAGAGGACACACAUUCAAACAUCAAAAUCACAUGACAACCUCUGCUUCCCCCUGCGAAUGGCCUAUCUUGUACCUUUACUUUUUGCCCUUGUAAGAGUCAUGGUGAUCUUCACCAAUUCCCUAUUUUUUCCUUUGUCUUGGCUACCGUCACAUGCUUGGGAAAGAUCUAUAUUCAUAUAUCAACUUGGAGUUGAGUACUUAUGCUUUAUUAUUGUUGACUUUACCCUUGAGGUAAAUCGUUGGGAGGCAAAACUAUAAGCCCCUAUCUUCCUCCGUGUCCAGCUGAAACUUUGACACCAUGAGUACCUCGUGAGUUGUAACAAUUGUGGAAAAUAAAAGAGAUGAUUGAGUAUGUGGAUUUGCCUUACAAGCUCUUAUUUGACUCUUUCUGAUUUUGUGAUAAAUUGUAAUUUCUUUAAUGACUUUGGACUGUUGUUGGUUACUUCUCGGUAAGGUUUUUUGCUUCAUGUUUUGCUUUGUGAAGGAAUUGUUACUUUCCUAUAAGAAUCUUUAUGAUGUAUUGUUGUCCUAUGUGUGAUCAUGAUGCCCUCAUGUCCGUAUUAUGCUUUAUCCACACCUUCGUCCCUCAACAUAUGGACAUGUUUAUGGAACUUGGUUUUCGCUUGACGACAAGCGAGGUCUAAGCUUGGGGAGUUGAUACGUCCAUUUUGCAUCAUGCUUUCAUGUUGAUAUUUAUUGCUUUAUGGGCUGUUAUAUUACUUUGUGGUACCAUAUUUAUGCCUUUUCUCUCUUAUUUUGCAAGGUUUAUUUGAAGAGGGAGAAUUCAAGCAGCUAGAAUUCUGGACUGGAAAAGGAGCAAAUCUUAGGCCACUAUUCUACACAUCUCCAAAUGCCCUGACAAGUUACGUGGAAUUUUUUGGGAUUAUAUAAAAAAUACUGGGCGAAAGAAGUACUAGAGGGGGGCUGCCAGGGCGCCACAAGCCUUGCCACCGCCACCCCCCUCGUGGCGGAGGGCAAGCUUGUGGGCUCCCUGACGGCCCACUAGCCCCCCUCUUUUUCUAUAUGAAGGGUUUCGUUCCAAAAAAAAAUCAAUCGGGAGCUUUUUGGUGGUUUCGCCGCCGCCACGAGGCGGAACUUGAGCAGAUCAAAUCUAGAGCUCCGGCAGGACGAUCCUGCCGGGGAAACUUCCGUCCCAGAGGGGGAAAUCGUCGCCAUCGUCAUCACCAACACUCCUCUCGUCGGAGGGGAGGCAUCUUCAUCAACAUCUUCAUCAGCACCAUCUCCUCUCCAAUCCCUAGUUGAUCUCUUGUAAUCAAUCUNCAGAAGCUUAAACCCCAGUCUAUGCAUUGCUUCGUAAGGGGCUGAUUUGGAUCCACUAGUUUAAUGCUAUGGUUAGACGUUGUCUUAAUUCUUCUCUCGUAGUUGUGGAUACUUGCGAGAGGGGUUAAUCAUAAGUGGGAUGCUUGUCCAAUUAAGGGAAGUAUACAAGCGCCGGUCCACCCACAUAUCAAACUAUCAAAGUAACGAACGCAAAUCAUAUGAACAUGAUGAAACUACCAUGACAGAAAUUCCCGUGCGUCCUCGAGAGCGUUUUUCCUCCUAUAAGACUUUGUGCAGGCUUGUCCCUUGCUACAAAAGGGAUUGGGCCACUUGAUGCACCGUUACUGCUACUUGUUACUUGUUACUUUUUGCUUGCUACAUUUCACCUCACUACACCAUCACUUGUUACCACUACUUUCAGUGCUUGCAGUUAUUACCUUGCUGAAAACCGUUUAUCAGAGCCUUCUGCUCCUCGUUGGGUUCCAUACUCUUACUUAUGGAAAGGACUACGAUUGAUCCCCUAUACUUGUGGGUCAUCAAUCAUCCAUGCUAGUUUAUUUUCUUUUUCUCAUUUUAUUUUCGUGUGUUUGUGUAGUUUGAGAAAAACCAAAAAGAUUUUCUUUUCUUCUUUUGCUUGUUGGGAACUUUCCCGUGUAAAUAGUUUUCUUUUUUCCUUUGGUCAUGGUAGAAGAUAAUGGUUACAAUGUUUAGUGGCUCUUGCAUGCAUACCUGUUUAGCUUUCAAGGAGCGAUAUUACUUUGUCUUCUCCUUUGUGUUUGCGUGCAGAUUCCAGCUUUAGUCCAAUGCACGAGCACUCUUAUUAUUGUUCACAUCGUUCGGUCGUGCAAGUGAAAGGCAAUAAUGACGAUAUAUGAUGAAAUGACUGAGCCAGGAAAAGCUGGUAUGAACUCGAUCUAUUUUGUUUUUUAAAUAUGACUAGCUCAUCUUGCCUGAUUCAACUUUGUUGUGAGAUAAACAUGUUUGCAAUGACAACUUAGAGAUCAUAGUUGCUUAUGCCAUGCUUACUUAGCUAGGAGCUUAUAAUGGUAUGCCUUGGUUACCAACAUGAAUGUUGAGAUGACUAUGAUGUAGUAUGAUAGGAUGGUAUCCUCCUGUGAUUGAUUCAAGUAGCUUGACUUAGCGCAUGUUCACGCAUGUAGUUGAAACAAAAUCAACAUAGCCUCUAUGGUGUUCAUGUUCAUGGUGAUUUGUGUCCUACUUAUGCUUGCACUCAAUGAUAGUUAAUCUCAAUGCAUUUUGAUGACUGUUGUCGCUCUCUAGUUGGUCGCUUCCCAGUCUUUUGCUAGCCAUCACUUGUACUAAGCGGGAAUACUGCUUGUGCAUCCACUUCCAUAAACCCAAAGUUGUGCCAUAUGAGUCCACCAUACCUACCUAUGUGCGGUAUCUACCUGCCGUUCCAAGUAAAUUUGCAUGUCCCACUCUCUAAAUCCUCAAGAAAUAAUCCGUUUUGCAUGCCCGAACUGCUCAUGUGGUGACAAGGGGCUAUUGGUAUCUUCCAUGCUAGGCGUGUUAUCCUCGAUAUGUGUUUAUUCACUAUCAUUCACGAGAAAGGGGCCGGUAAUUGGAAUUCCUAGUUCCAUACUCAAAUCGAAAAGAUAAUUGCAAACAAAACUCCCCCAGGAUUGAUGUUGGUAUGGAAGGUACCCGAGGAUUCGGCUAGCCGUGGAGUGUGAUUGAUUGGUGGUUGGGGGAGUCAAAACUUUACUUUUCUGUUUGGAACCGCCUAUAGCAUGUGUAGCGUGGAAGAUGUUGAGAACUCUUAGUCAUUGCAUUGACAAUGAAAGCAUGCCACCCAAAAUUAUUAUGUCUGUUUUCAAAGCUUGAGCUCUGGCACCUCUGGAUAUAAAUGCUUCCCUCUACGAAGGGCCUGUCUAUUUAUGUUCCUCUCGAGUCAUCCUCCUCUUACAAAAGCACCAAUUAGAGAGCACCUCUGUCAUUUUUAUGUUUCGCUUUUAACUGUAUUGAGUAUGACUGUGACUGAAUCUUCAUUGCCUUGAAUUACAAUUUUUAGUCAGCCCUUGGUCUUUGAAGGUGCUCUGCAUUUAUGUUUUGCGGUCUCAGAAAGAGCUAGCGAGAUACCAUCUAUUUGUAUUGUUUCAUGUUGUCUUGAUUGAAGUGUUGACAUUUGAGGCUUAUUAUGAUUUGCUCGCUAGUUGAUUAUGCCAUUGAUAUGAGUUUACCGUGAGACCUAGAUGUCAUUUGCUUAUGUGGUUUGCUUGUGAUCUUGCCGACAUUCUGGUUAUGAGUUAGACAUAGUUGCAACAACAAGAUCAAACAGAGUUCGUCAAAGUUUUGGUUUUUUCUCUUUCAGUUUGUCAACUGGAUUGCUUGAGGACAAGCAAGGCUUUAAGCUUGGGGGAGUUGAUACGUCUCCGUCGUAUCUACUUUUCUGAACUCUUUUGCCCUUGUUUUGGACUCUAAUUUGCUUGAUUUGAAUGGAACUAACCCGGACUGACGAUGUUUUCAGCAGAAUUGCCAUGGU
Molecule: long non-coding RNA, 44752 nt
Filed under: Hordeum vulgare
Lineage: Eukaryota; Viridiplantae; Streptophyta; Magnoliopsida; Poales; Poaceae
Description: long non-coding RNA (HVUL_LNC001333)
Source: RNAcentral